Molecule: long non-coding RNA, 57299 nt
Filed under: Durio zibethinus
Lineage: Eukaryota; Viridiplantae; Streptophyta; Magnoliopsida; Malvales; Malvaceae
Source: RNAcentral
UCAUUUGCUUUGUUGAUUUUUUAAGCUCCAUGGUUUUAUUGGUUGAUACUUUUGCAAAUUCUUCUUUUACUAGCUUUCUUCUCAGCAGGAACCCUUGAAAGUUUUUUAUCCAUCCAUCUACUUUGUGUGGUAAAUAUGCUUUUUGCUCAUAUUUCCUCCUUUUUAAAAUAGGUAUUACCAUCUUUAAGAGAGAAGCAUGAUGAGUUCAUGCUGAGGGAGCUUGUUAAAAGAUGGGCAAACCAUAAAGUGAUGGUCAGGUGGCUAUCACGCUUCUUCCAUUACCUAGAUCGCUAUUUCAUUGCCCGCAGAUCACUUCCUGCACUUAAUGAAGUUGGCCUGACCUGCUUCCGUGAUCUGGUUUGUUAUUAGUUCUUCUAAUGACACAUUUAUCCAAUACUAAUUAUGGCAUAAUGAGUUGGAUUUUGAGAAUUGUGCUGCCCAUUAUUUCAAAUAUGCUCUUAACUAAUUGUAUACUAUCUAUUUUACUAAUCUCAGGUAUAUCGAGAAGUGCAUGACAAAGUCAGAGAUGCUGUAAUUGUCCUUGUAAGUUUCCAUCAUUAUGUCAUGGUUAAUUGUAUUUUUAGGUUGCAUUUUGAAUAAAAACUAAAGAGUAACAGUUACUUCAUAUCAGAUUGAUAAAGAACGUGAGGGAGAGCAGAUAGACCGAGCAUUAUUGAAGAAUGUGUUAGAUAUUUUUGUUGAAAUUGGCAUGGGCCAAAUGGUUCGUUAUGAAGAUGAUUUUGAAGCAGAUAUGCUUGAGGAUACUGGUGCCUACUACUCACGGAAGGCAUCAAGCUGGAUUGAGGAUGAUUCUUGUCCAGAUUACAUGUUGAAGGCAAGUACUUUGCUGUUCCUGCAUUUAUAUUUUUAUAGGUUAUAAGUUUUUCACCUUGGUUAACCCAGAUGGUUCUAAUUGUUUUUAUUUUAAUGAUAAUUGCAGUCUGAAGAAUGCUUGAAGAAGGAAAGGGACAGAGUGUCUCAUUACCUGCAUUCAAGCAGUGAGACAAAAUUGUUAGAGGUCAGUUGAAUGGUUGGAAAGUUAUAGUUUAAUGAAGAGCUUUUUCUGUGAGCUUUAGCUUGGCUUGAGGGUGCACUUUUUUUUCUUCGGAGAGAAAAUCUGUUUAAUUUUCUUCUAUAAGAGGUGACUUAAAUGAAUAGUGUUUGAUGUGUGAAACAUUGUCACUAAGAUAUUACAAUAGAAGUUGUGUGAAUUCUUUUCAAGUGGAAAGAUCUGGUUGCUUUUAUCUAUUUUCUUCUAGCUACCUAGAAAUGGAGAUUGCAUGUUUUUGACUUAUCCAAUGACAUGGAAUAAUAUAGGCAUGUGAUAAGAAUAAACAGAGACAUCCUAUUAAGACGGCUUUAUAAUUCCUAGAGCACUCUACUUAUAGCUGUUUGUUCUUUAUCUAGAAAGUGCAACAUGAGUUGUUGGUCAUGUACGCAAAUCGGCUACUUGAAAAGGAGCAUUCAGGAUGUAGGGCCUUGCUUAGAGAUGACAAGGUAUCAUCCAACCUUGUUUCUUUGCUAGCAAUGCUUACUCUUCUGGCUGUUUGCUUUGGAAAAUAUAUAAUCAGAUAGUUAUUUGGCUUUGUUUACACUCUGUAGCUGGAGGAUCUCUCUAGGAUGUACAGGCUUUAUUGUAAAAUACCUCGAGGCUUGGAUCCUGUUGCUAAUAUAUUCAAGCAGGUCUGAAUAUCCUGUUUAUUCUGCAAGCUAAAUGCCCAUCUUUCUCAUGUUACUUUAUGAUUUUACUGACUCUUUGUGAGUAAUUACUUUUUGCAGCAUAUUACAGCUGAGGGUACAGCCUUGGUUGAACAGGCGGAAGAUGCUGCAAGUAACCAGGUUAAUUGCUGGAUACAUUUAUUGAUUUCCUUCUGUACUAGAAGAUAAAUCAUGAAGAUUUUUUCUGGAUUGUAAUUGUGUGCUUGUGAGGGGAUGAAAUCCUUUUCUUUUAGACUAAUAAAAUGGGUACAAGAGUAGUAUUUAAACAUAUCAGUGUGGCAUGUUGAUUUUUAUCUUCAUUUGUUAUUGUGGUUGUGCAGUUCUUGUAACUGUUAAGUUUGAUUUGCCUUUGACAUGCCAAUAUUCCCAUUUUAUUUCUCUUUAGGAAAAAGAGAGUUAAUUCCAACUAAUACAGACUAAAAUUUUCCCACAAUUGAUGGAAAAAUAGAUGAUCAUAUUCAUUUUUGUUUUGAAUAAUCACCUGUCUGGUUCUAAGUGCUGAUAUUCACUCAUUUCCACAGGCCUCAAAUGCUCCUGGUGUGCAGGAACAGGUAAAUAUCCCAACUUUUACAGCUAUGGAUUCUUUUGAAAUCUGUAAAAAUGUUGAAAAUUGUUACUUCUGUCAUUGUUAGGACCUUAUCAGCAAAAUUAUCAAGCUGCACAAUAAGUACAUCGUGUAUGUGACUCGCUGCUUUCAAAACCAUACUCUGUUCCACAAGGUUUGUGUUGGAACACCUAAAUUUGUAAUAUGGAUCUGGUUCAGUCGUGUUAUCUAAAAUUUGUAAUAAGAAUAAACAGAGACUUCCUAUUAAGACUGCUUUAUAAUUCCUAGAGCACUCUACUUAUAGCUGUUUGUUCUUUAUCUAGAAAGUGCCACAUGAGUUGUUGGUCAUGUACGCAAAUCGGCUACUUGAAAAGGAGCAUUCAGGAUGUAGGGCCUUGCUUAGAGAUGACAAGGUAUCAUCCAACCUUGUUUCUUUGCUAGCAAUGCUUACUCUUCUGGCUGUUUGCUUUGGAAAAUAUAUAAAUCAGAUAGUUAUUUGGCUUUGUUUACACUCUGUAGCUGGAGGAUCUCUCUAGUAAGUACUGGCUUUAUUGUAAAAUACCUCAAGGCUUGGAUCCUGUUGCUAAUAUAUUCAAGCAGGUCUGAAUAUCCUGUUUAUUCUGCAAGCUAAAUGCCCAUCUUUCUCAUGUUACUUUAUGAUUUUACUGACUCUUUGUGAGUAAUUACUUUUUGCAGCAUAUUACAGCUGAGGGUACAGCCUUGGUUGAACAGGCGGAAGAUGCUGCAAGUAACCAGGUUAAUUGCUGGAUACAUUUAUUGAUUUCCUUCUGUACUAGAAGAUAAAUCAUAAAGAUUUUUUCUGGAUUGUAAUUGUGUGCUUGUGAGGGGAUGAAAUCCUUUUCUUUUAGACUAAUAAAAUGGGUACAAGAGUAGUAUUUAAACAUAUCAGUGUGGCAUGUUGAUUUUUAUCUUCAUUUGUUAUUGUGGUUGUGCAGUUCUUGUAACUGUUAAGUUUGAUUUGCCUUUGACAUGCAUUUUAUUUCUCUUUAGGAAAAAGAGAGUUAAUUCCAACUACUACAGACUAAAAUUUUCCCACAAUUGAUGGAAAAAUAGAUGAUCAUAUUCAUUUUUGUUUUGAAUAAUCACCUGUCUGGUUCUAAGUGCUGAUAUUCACUCAUUUCCACAGGCCUCAAAUGCUCCUGGUGUGCAGGAACAGGUAAAUAUCCCAACUUUUACAGCUAUGGAUGCUUUUGAAAUCUGUAAAAAUGUUGAAAAUUGUUACUUCUGUCAUUGUUAGGUCCUUAUCAGGAAAAUUAUCGAGCUGCACGAUAAGUACAUGGAGUAUGUGACUCGCUGCUUUCAAAACCAUACUCUGUUCCACAAGGUUUGUGUUGGAACACCUAAAUUUGUAAUAUGGAUCUGGUUCAGUCAUGUUAUCUAAAACAUGCUUCGUUGAAAUGUUCAAUAGGCAUUGAAAGAGGCUUUUGAGGUAUUUUGCAACAAAACUGUUUCUGGCAGCUCAAGUGCUGAGCUUUUGGCAACUUUCUGUGAUAAUAUCCUGAAGAAGGGUGGAAGUGAGAAAUUAAGUGAUGAAGCCAUUGAAGAAACACUUGAGAAGGUAGCUUUAUCCACCAUUUUUAUACUGAAUUUAUGGUGAUCUGAAAUUGAUUCUGAACUAUCUGUUUGGUUUCUGCAGGUAGUUAAGCUGUUUGCCUAUAUUAGUGACAAAGACCUCUUUGCCGAAUUCUACAGGUGAGGUUUUUUUUUUUGUCAAUUAGUUUCACAUCUGCUUGUUUUUAAAAAAAGAAAAAAAAAAAAAACCCUUUAAAGGCAUGAGUUUGCAUGGUACAUUUUGAUCCUAACUUUAUGGUGUGCAAUCAUUGACAGGAAGAAACUCGCUCGGCGACUGCUUUUUGACCGCAGUGCUAAUGAUGAUCAUGAAAGGAGUAUUCUGACUAAGCUAAAGGAGCAAUGCGGUGGACAGUUCACCUCGAAGAUGGAGGGCAUGGUGAGUUGGCCUGACUUUUGCUUAGUUUAUUUUUCUGCAUUAAUUACGGUUUAAAUUGUGAUGAAACUUGUCUUCUACCUUCAUGACAGGUGACAGAUCUGACAUUGGCAAGGGAAAACCAGGCCAGCUUUGAGGACUAUCUUAGAAAUAACCCAGCUGCACAUCCUGGGAUCGAUUUAACAGUUACUGUUCUUACCACAGGAUUCUGGCCAAGUUAUAAAUCAUUUGAUCUCAAUCUCCCUGCUGAGAUGGUAAUGACUUCUAACAUGUUAUUGUAUGAUGACAGAAUUAGAGCUCUUACUCCAGCAUGUCUUCAGAAAUUUUAUUUGUUUCAGGUCAAGUGUGUGGAAGUUUUCAAAGGAUUUUAUGAAACAGAAACAAAACAUAGAAAGCUUACAUGGAUAUACUCUCUGGGAACUUGCCACAUUAAUGGCAAGUUUGAGGAGAAAACUAUUGAGUUGAUUGUUUCAACUUAUCAGGUAAACCGACUCUGUAAACUGUGUGCGCUUUUUAAAUUGAAAAAUUGUGGUUUGGGUUGGAUUUAUGUCUUUGUCUUGCUGGGUUGCGGUGUUGAACUUUGAUUGUGGAAUCUAAUUUCCAGUUGCCUAUGUAAACAGGCUGCUGUCCUCCUUCUGUUUAAUGCUUCUGAUCGGCUGAGCUAUUCAGAGAUCAUGGCUCAGUUGAACUUGACCCAUGAUGACUUGGUCAGGUUACUACAUUCGCUGGCAUGUGCCAAGUAUAAGAUUCUAAGUAAAGAGCCAAACACAAAAACCAUCUCCCAGAGUGAUUACUUUGAGUUCAACUCUAAGUUUACUGACAAGUUGAGGAGGAUUAAGGUCUGGGAUAGUUUUGCAACUCUCUUUUAUGUUAUUAUUGCUUUUGGUAUUUAUUUGAAUGAGAGGUUCUACCUUUGGAAAUAACCUUGUAAACUAUCCUAUGUAGAUUCCUCUCCCUCCAGUGGAUGAAAGGAAGAAAGUUGUUGAAGAUGUUGAUAAAGAUCGGCGUUAUGCUAUUGACGCUGCAAUUGUGCGCAUAAUGAAGAGUAGGAAAGUUUUGGGCCACCAACAAUUAGUUUCAGAGUGUGUUGAGCAGUUGAGUCGCAUGUUCAAGGUAUUAAUAUACGCUAACCCUUUAUCUGACAGUUUGUGAGAGAAACAUUAGAUGUAUAGAUGGGGAUAUCAGGUUGCCUUAACUGACAGAAAACCACACACAGGCACAUGCAAGCCAAACAUACACUGUAUGAAAAUAAUCUUUUAAAGAAUGAAAAGCUAGAGGACAAAAAGAUCUAUGAGAUUUGGGUAGAAAGGUGGAAAAACGACUGGUUCUCUUAUCCAAAGGAAGUUUACUUUUGAGAAUGAUGCAUGUAAAUAAAAGAUGAGAGGUGAUAGAUUUUUAUUUUAAAUGAAAAGUGAUGAAAUGGAAGGAGUGGGGUUAUCAAAUUGGAUAAAAACAUCGACUUUUUUAUAGGUGAUUAACGUGUUGUGUUUCUGUGAUCAAACACAUGCACGGAAACUGGAAAGUAAGUAAUAGGUGAUAGGUUGUUUAAUUACAUAACUUCUUAGUAGUUGGUACUAAUUACAUAGGAUGUGGUUGGGAUUUGCAGCCUGAUAUUAAAGCCAUCAAGAAGCGGAUGGAGGAUCUCAUCACACGAGACUAUCUGGAGAGAGACAAAGAUAAUCCAAACUUGUUUAGGUACUUGGCCUAAGUAGGUCCUUCCCAAUGGAACGUGGGAAGUGGUACAGUCAGAUGGAUUUACAAUGCUCCCCCACUGAAAUCCACAUAUUUUUUUCUGGGUACCUUGUGUAAAGUUCAACGAAGUUUUAAUUGUCUAUUGAAAUUUAAUUAGUGUUUCACUUUAAAUUUCAUCAGUAUGAAUAUUACAUGAGUAGUUAACUUUUAAAUUACGUUUAUUUAGUGUCUCACAUCUAUACAUAUUUUGAAAAAAAUUCUCAAUGAAAUUAUCAAAUUAUUGUCUUAUUAUUUGAUAAAAAAUUGACACAUGAUCAAUUAUUAUUAUGUUUUUAUAUCAUAAUUAUGAAAAUAUUUUUAUGUUAUAAUUAUUUUCUAUAAUAUCCUUAUUUCAUAUUUACGGAAAUAUUUGAUUUUUAAAUUAAUUGUUAUAGUUUUAUAUCAUAAUUAUAAAAAUACUCAUAGGCAAUAGUUAUUUAUUAUAAUAUCUUCAUUUUAUAAUUACAGAAAUAUUUCUUUUCUUAUUAUUGAAUUGUAAAAAUAAUUUUCUAUUAUUGAUAAAAAUUAUUAUAAUAUUUUUAUAUCAUAAUUAUAAAAAUAUUUUUUCUCAUAAUUGAUUAAAAUUAUUAUAAUAAUGUUUUUAUCAUAAUUUUGAAAAUAUUUUUAUGAAUAUUUAAUAAGAAUUAGACAUGUGAUAUUUUAUUGUAACAUAAAUUAAAAUAAUUCUUUUGAUAAUCAUAUAUAUAUAUAUAUAUAUUACAAUAUACAUAAUUUUUAGAUAAAAUUUAUUGACAUGGAUAUUUGUAUGAUUUUUUUUUUUUGACGCGUAAAAAAGUUUCUUAAAUUUCUUUCUUUAAGUAUACAUAAGAUAUUUAUUAAUUUUAAAUUAUUAAUUAAAAAUAUAUUUUAAAAAUUAUUAAAUUAUCUAAAAAUUUUAAAUUUUAAAUAAAAAUCAGUUUAAAUUCAAAUAAAAUUUUCUUAUCUCAUGUAUUAUCUCAUCUCUCGUAACAUUCAACAAACCAAUCAGAUGAACUUUCCAUUUAAAAAUAAGUUUUUUCAUUUUAAAUGGUCUUCCACUUUAUGUCAUGCUCCUGAGUAAUUUUAAAAUGUUUUCAAUUUCUCAAGCUAAAUUAUCUUGUUUUUAAUUUGUCUCUCACAACUGCUUACUCCUCUCACGCUCCUUAGAUGCACCUAAAGGACACUACCAUCUACUUUUUUUUUUUAGUCUUGGAAGUGACAUUCUGAGGUUUGUUUGCAGGGAAGAAAAAAUGACUGAGACAAAAAGUUUAGCAGUGGUGCGCAGUAGGCAAAUGGGUUCUGGCAUAGCUCAGCUUGGUGCCAUGCAUGGUCUCCAUGUUUGGCUCCUUGAAACUGACCCUGUUGCACUUUCUAGAGCCUCCAAAGCUAUCUCUUUUUCCCUUCAACGUUUUGUUUUCAAAGGUCAUCUGCCCCAAGUAAAAUUGGUUUUUUUUUUUUUUCAUCUAAUUUGUUGAUUGUUUUAAGUUUGGUUUUGAUGUGAUUUGAAGUCUUGAACCAGGAGAUUUUUUUCAGUUUAACACUCGAUCUUCUGACAGUUUGCAGUUAUACCAUAUUUGUACAUAUUGAUGAAUUGAAUAAAUAGUUUUGGUAAAGGGAUUCUUUUUGAUGAAAAGAUGUUUUUUUUUAUAUAAUCAGCCACUCCACAUGAUGCGUUAAUUAGAUAUUAUCAUAUUUACACCAAGCUGUUGUCAAAUAGUUAGUAAAUUUUUUUUAAUUCAUUCAAGUAAUAGCAAAUGAAAAAUUAAUUAAAUAAUGCUUAAUUCAAUAUUUUAUAUAAUUAUUUUUAAAAAAUAAUAUUUAGUAGAUUUGUGAUUCAAAUUCUAAUAUUUGUAAUUUUUUUUCUAUUAUCAGAUGAUAGCUCUUAUUAUAAAAUAAAUAAAAAAUUAAUUUAAAUUCGGUUCAUUGUAUCUUAUCUUGAGAUAUUAUAUGCCCAAUUAAGAAAAUAUUUUAGUGACUAAUUAUAUUCUUUAAUUCUAUCUUUCUAUACACGUUAGAAUAAGGAAGUUCUUCCAAUGACCUUUAUCUAAGAAUAGCAGGCCAAUCUGUGCUUCCAAUAUCAUUGUAGCUUUAUUAUUUUUUAUAGGGUUAAUGUUACAAAUAAUUUUUGAACUAUAAUAAAACAUUUAAUGCAAUGUUUAAAUUUUAAAAUUUUAUAAUAUAAUACCUUAAUUAUAAAUAUACUAAUUAAUAUAAUAUUUAAAAAGUUAUUUGUCUAUUAUGUGUCAUCAUUUAAAAUUAGUUACAUUAAAGAUAAAUAUUAUAUUAGUUACAGAAUCACAAUUCAAGUAUCGCAUUAGAAAUUUUUAAAAUUUAAGUAUUAUAUUAAAUAUUUCAUUAUAAUUUAUUAGCUAUACAUGGUAUUAACCUUUUUUUAUUACUAUUGUUACGGCAUUUUUAUGGUAAAAAUGAUAUAAUGGUCUUUUAUCAAAAAAGAAUGACUCACCAACAACUUAGGAUUAUUUUUAUCAUUUGAUCUGAGUUGAUAUGGCAAGUUGACCUUAUUCUUUAGAGUUCAUAUCAACUCGAUCAAUAUCAUUCUACUUGACAACGUGUGAAUAUGAUGAUUUGUUACUUUUUUGUUGGGUUUUUUUUGCCAUGUCAAGUUGAGUUGACCUCAUCAGCACUAAAUUCAAUUCCAAAAGCUUGGAUCACUAUGAUUUGAAUACCUUUUCUCUCGAGUAUAAUACUUUUUCUCCUCCUAAGUAUGGAUAAUCACUUAUCCAUUCUCUUUAUAGGUUCCACUAUUUAUCUAUUCUGAACACUGAGUUUAGUGUUGAAAUACAAAUAUCAGAUAUAACUCUGAUCUUUAUUUUUUAUGGAUCUCCAUUCUCAUUUGAUUUUCAAAUCUUUAACCUUUCAAGUUGAGCUCAACACCAAGAACUAUAAAAUAAAAUAAUAUCAAUAAGUGUUAAAUAAAAAAAUAGCCCUUAUGCAAUACACUUUCUAUCAAUUUAGUAUUUAGAGAAACAAAAUUCACAAUUAUGUAGUAAAACUUUUGUUUCGUCGUACACUUUGAUACUUUAGACUAACGUUGUUAGUCAAAUUACUAACAUAGUAUAAAUACUCAAUAAAAUCAUAACACUUGUAAAAAAUGUACAAUUAUCAUUAGAGGUAUAUUAAGUUGAGUUCAAUUGAUAUAAUAAGAAAUUUGAGCUCAUAUUCGAUUCGAAAUUCACUAUUUAAAACUCAACUCGAACUUGCUUGAAUUUUAAUUUUUAAAUUUAAAUUCAACUUGAGAUAAAAAUUGAACUACUUGAACUUGUUUGAUUAAGCUCGUUUAUCAUAUAAAAAAAAAUAAUUCCUAUGCUCAACAUCAAGCUCUAGCUCAAAUUAAUUUACAUAAAGGUAAAAUAGUAGUUUUCAAUUAAAAUAAUUAAAAUAUAUUAAACUAUAAAAACUUGAUUAGGCCCAAACUACUUGAAUCAAGUAUUAGGAUGCUUGUACUCGGCUCACCCAAUAAGUCGAACUACUCAAGCUCGGUUAGACAAUGAUCAAACUGAAUUUAAAUUUUAUUUGAGUCAAGUCUAAGUAGUUUGUAAAUUAAUGUAUUAUUUAUACCCUUAGUUAUCACGGCGUUAUAUUAGAAGAAAUCUACAAAAAAUAAAAAAAAUAAAUUUUUAAAAUUUUUAAAAAAAUUUAUUUUUUUGAAAAUUUAAAAUAAUUAAAAAAACUGAAAAUUAAAAAAUCUUAAAAUUUUCAAAAAAAAAUCCUAAAAAAUUAAACAAAUCCAAAUUUUUUCAAAAAAGAUUCAAAAACAUUUAAAUAAAAAAAAUCAAAAACAAAUUUGAAAAACUAAAAGUAAUUAAAAAAUUUUAAAAUAGUUAAAACUUAAAAAAAAUUCCAAAAUUUUAAAAAAUAUAAAAAAUUUUAAAAAGUAAAUAAAAUGGAAAAAUACUUUAAAAAUUCCAAAAAAUAAAAAGUUUUUUGUAAAAUUUUAAAAAAUCCAAAAAUUUUUAAAAAAGUGAGAAAUUUUAGAAAAAAUUGUAAAAAAUGAAAAAAAAAUCUGAAAUAUUAAAAUUUUGAAAAAAAAUAAAAAAUGUAUUUUAAAAAAUCUACUAAAAAUCUGAAAAAUGAAAAAAAAUCCAAAGAAUUUAAAAAAUAUGAAAAACUUUAUAAGAAAUAGAAUUUAAAAAAAAAUCAACAAAAUUGAAAAAAUUAAAAUGUCAAAACUUAAAAAGUAAAAUUAAAAAAAAUCUAAAAAACAAAAAAAAAUCGUUGGGCUAUAUUUCUUAUUUUUAUAUGGUAAUAUUUUUGAAGUUUUUCAAUUUUGAAUUUUUUAAAAAUAUUCAACUUUUUAAAUUUUUUCUUUUUUUUUAUAGAAUUUUUAUAAAACAUUUUCAGUUUUUUUUUUUUAAUUUAUUUUGGAUUUUUUAACGUUAUAGAUUUUUUUUAUUUUUUUGGAUUUUAAAAUAAAAUUUUUUAUUUUUUAUUUUUUAAAGUUUCCAAUAUUCGAUUUUUCAUUUUUUUUGGAAUUUUUCAAAAAAUUUUCAUUUAUUUUGAAUUUUUUGGAUUUAAAAUAUUUUUUUCUAUUUUGGAUUUUCAAUUUAUCGAUUUUUUGAUUUGUUAGUUUAGGAAUUUAUUUUUAAUUUUUUAAUUUUUCAUAUUUUCCCUUUUUUAAACUUCAUUGGAAUUUUUUUAUAAAAAAUUUAUUUUUUUGAAAAUUUUAGGAAAUUUUUUAAUUUCUCUAAUUUUUGUAUAUUUUUAGGAUGUUUUUAAAAAUUUUCACAUUUUUUGAAUUUUUUAAUUUUUCAUAAAAUUGUUUUGAUUUUUUUUAAUUGUUCAAUUUUUUCUUGAAUUUUUUAUAUUUUAUAAAUGUUUUUACUAAUAUUGAUAAUGUAAUGAUGAUAUAACGAUAAUUGAACAUUUUUUAUAUGUGUUAUGAUUUUAUCAAGUAUUGAUGUCAUGUCAGUAAUUUGAUUAACGAUGUUAAGUAAAACAUCAAGGUGUAUAAUAAAAUAAAAGUUCAAAUUCUUAAUUAUGAAUUUUAGUUCAUUAGAUAUAAAUUUAUUGAAAAUAUAUAAUGCAUAAGUAUUUUUUUUAUAUUUAACCCUAUCAAUAAAUAAAUAUUUUAGCGUGCUAAAAAAAACCUUAUUAAAAAAUAAAAUAAAAAAAAAGACAAUAGUAACUUGAGUAAAAGGAGUUUUCAACUUUUUAACUAAAAAUUAGGGUUAAUAACAUUUGUAAUAUCUAAAUUUUAACUUAAAUUUUAUUUUAUUUUUUAAAAAUUUUAAUCGGAUUCUCAAUCUGUUAAAGUUGUCUUAUUUUGAUCUUUUCGUCUAUGAAAUCAUUUAAAUUGAUAUUAAAUGUUAGAUGGUGCCAUGUGAUGAUGUUAAUUUGUAUUUUACUUGACAAAAAAAGAACCUAAAUAGAAUUCUUUCAAAAUUUAAAAAUUAAAGAUGAAAUUAUUUUAAAAUUUUAUAUAUUUUAUAUAUUUUUAUAAAAUAUUAAAUUUAAAAAUUAUAAUUUAAUAUUUUAGAAAAAAAGUUUUUUUAGAUUAAAAAAUUUUUAUUAUGUUUAUGAAUAAAUAAUAUUUUUUAAUAAAAUAUAAUUUUUGUUUUUAAAAAUGUUAUGUGAAUUUUAAAAAAGCAUCUAAAUUUUGAAUUAAAGUUUUAAGUUUUGAUAUCUAUUUUCAAUUUAAAAACUAAAAAUUUACCUAUAAAUUUAUUUAGAACAAAAUAUGAAAAUAGAAUUUUAAAUUUAAUAUUUGGUAAAAUACUGAUAAAAAUAUAUAAAAUAUAUAAAAUUUUAAAAUAAUUUUAUCAUUGGUGCUUAAAGUUUAAAAAAAUAUAUAUUUUGAUCAUUUUUUGUUGCAUGAUGUCAACUGAUGUUAUUUUGUAUUAUCAGUUGAAAUUUAUUAUCAAUUAAAUAGUUUCAUUUAUGAAAAAAUCAAAAUAAGAUAAUUUUAAUAAAUUAAAAUUUUAAUUAAAAUAUUUAAAAUAUGAGGAAUCAAAAUAAAAUUUGAAUCGGAAUUUAAUAUCUGUUAUUAACCUUAAUAAUUAAGAAGAUUUAAAAAGACAUAAAUUAAGAGUUCGAACGCAAUUUGGCCAAAAAAAAGAAAGAAAAAGAAAAAAACACCAAAUCCUAAUAUCCCCAAAAUUUAUUUUCCCUCUUUUUUAAAGGCACUGCACAUCUGGCAAACCAAAAAAUCCUUUCUUUUUCCCGUAUUUCGCCGCCUUUUCAACCAUCGGUCUCGUAUAUAAUUACUUCCCCCAUUCCCUUCUCCGAUUAUACUUUCUUUAGCGCUAGGCUUAGGGUUUAUUUUUCAGAAGUGCUCUCAAUUUCGAUCGUAUUUCUGGUGCGUACUUUCCUAUUUUUUGAGCUAGGGUUUUGCUUCUCUAUCUUUUGUCCUUUUGUUUUUUAAAAAGAUUAUCUUGAUUCUUAGUUAUAUUUCACAACUCCCAUUGAUCUUUGCGUGUUUAUUUGUAAUCUGUAAUCUCAGUUUCGCGGUUCUUCUUUCUUUUGAAAUCGUAAUCAACUAUAGGUUUUUCCUUUUUCAUUUAACCUUGUGAGCCACGGCGUCUGAUGUGACAUUGUUUAGAAAUUUUGCUUUUCGCAAUUUUUUUUUUUGCUCCCUCUGAUUUUGUUGUUAGCGUUUUCGUCAAUGUUUGGAUGUUCAUGUUAUAUUAUUUUUUAAUUUAUCCAUAUAGAUUUUAUUUGUGUCUGAAUUUUUGUUUGCCCAUUUCAUGCUAAGGUUUUGUUAAUCUUUGUGGUUUGAUUGUUUGGUAUUCGACGUUAUGAAUUUUUUUGUUAUAUGCUUUUGCAGAUUUUAAUUUUAAGAAACCAUAGCUCCUAUUUACACAAUGGAGCGCAAGACUAUUGAAUUGGAUCAGGGAUGGGAUUAUAUUUGGAAGGGGAUCACAAAACUGAAGAGGAUUUUGGAAGGAUUGCCAGAGCCUCCAUUUAGCUCAGAAGAAUAUAUGAUGCUUUACACGUAUCACUAAUUACUUGUUUUCAGUUUUGUUGAUUCUUUUCGAGCCACAGACUUAUUAUUUAUAAUCAUCUGGUAUUUUUUAUCCUCAUCAUCUUUCCUUAAUUGGAACCACUACAGGACUAUCUACAACAUGUGUACUCAAAAGCCACCUCAUGAUUAUUCUCAGCAGCUUUAUGACAAGUACCGAGAGGCAUUUGAGGAAUAUAUUACAUCGAUGGUAAGGAAUUUAGAGUCUUGUCUGCCAUCACUAGGUUGCUGAGUACUGACUAGUCUGUGUAGAUAGAUAGUGAUUUAUAUAAAACUCAGUUUAUUAUGGAGGCAUUGUUUUACUGCUAUGAUUUCAAGGAUGUUAAUGUAAUUAGUCCUCUCUUGGGGAAUUAUUGCUGAAAUCCUCCCUUUUUUUUUUCCUUCUUUGCAUGACAAAGGGAUUUGACCAACAUCUUUUAGAAUGCAUAUUCCAUGGACUGAAAGCAAUGCUAUAUUUCAUUUACUUUGUUUUAGGUUCUAUAUUCCAAGAGCUUUGGUUGCAUUUGUUUGAUGUUUUCUAUAUUAUAUUGUUUUUUAAAGAUUGUAAUAACUCAUUUGCUUUGUUGAUUUUUUAAGCUCCAUGGUUUUAUUGUUUGAUACUUUUGCAAAUUCUUCUUUUACUAGCUUUCUUCUCAGUAGGAACCUUGAAAGUUUUUUAUCCAUCCAUCUACUUUGUGUGGUAAAUAUGCUUUUUGCUCAUAUUUCCUCCUUUUUAAAAAUAGGUAUUACCAUCUUUAAGAGAGAAGCAUGAUGAGUUCAUGCUGAGGGAGCUUUGUUAAAAGAUGGACAAACCAUAAAGUGAAUGGUCAGGUGGUUAUCACGCUUCUUCAAUUACCUAGGUCCGCUAUUUCAUUGCCGCAGAUCACUUCCUGCACUUAAUGAAGUUGGCCUGACCUGCUUCCGUGAUCUGGUUUGUUAUUAGUUCUUCUAAUGACACAUUUAUCCAAUACUAAUUACGGUGUAAUGAGUUGGAUUUUGAGAUUGUGCUGCCCAUUAUUUCAAAUAUGCUCUUAACUAAUUGUAUACUACCUAUUUUACUAAUCUCAGGUGUAUCAAGAAGUGCAAUGACAAAGUCAGAGAUGCUGUAAUUGUCCUUGUAAGUUUCCAUCAUUAUGUCAUGGUUAAUUGUAUUUUAGGUUGGCAUUUUGAAUAAAAACUAAGAGUAACAGUUACUUCAUAUCAGAUUGAUAAAGAACGUGAGGGAGAGCAGAUAGACCGAGCAUUAUUGAAGAAUGUGUUAGAUAUUUUUGUUGAGGAUUGGCAUGGGCCAAAUGGUUCGUUAUGAAGAUGAUUUUGAAGCAGAUAUGCUUGAGGAUACUGGUGCCUACUACUCACGGAAGGCAUCAAGCUGGAUUGAGGAUGAUUCGUGUCCAGAUUACAUGUUGAAGGCAAGUACUUGCUGUUCCUGCAUUUAUAUUUUUAUAGGUUAUAAGUUUUUCACCUUGAUUAACCGGAUGGUUCUAAUUGUUUUUAUUUUAAAUGAUAAUUGCAGUCUGAAGAAUGCUUGAAGAAGGAAAGGGACAGAGUGUCCUCAUUACCUGCAUUCAAGCAGUGAGACAAAAUUGUCAGAGGUCAGUUGAAUGGUUGGAAAGUUAUAGUUUAAUGAAGAGCUUUUUCUGUGAGCUUUAGCUUGGGCUUGAGGGUGCACUUUUUUUUCUUCGGAGAGAAAAUCUGUUUAAUUUUCUUCUAUAAGAGGUGACUUAAAUGAAUAGUGUUUGGAUGUGUGAAACGUUGUCACUAAGAUAUUACAAUAGAAGUUGUGUGAAUUAUUUUCAAGUGGAAAGAUCUGGUUGCUUUUAUCUAUUUUCUUCUAGCUACCUAGAAAUGGAGAUUGCAUGUUUUUGACUUAUCCAAUGACAUGGAAUAAUAUAGGCAUGUGAUAAGAAUAAACAGAGACUUCCUAUUAAGACAGCUUUAUAAUUCCUAGAGCACUCUACUUAUAGCUGUUUGUUCUUUAUCUAGAAAGUGCAACAUGAGUUGUUGGUCAUGUACGCAAAUCGGCUACUUGAAAAGGAGCAUUCAGGAUGUAGGGCCUUGCUUAGAGAUGACAAGGUAUCAUCCAACCUUGUUUCUUUGCUAGCAAUGCUUACUCUUCUGGCUGUUUGCUUUGGAAAAUAUAUAAUCAGAUAGUUAUUUGGCUUUGUUUACACUCUGUAGCGGGAGGAUCUCUCUAGGAUGUACAGGCUUUAUUGUAAAAUACCUCGAGGCUUGGAUCCUGUUGCUAAUAUAUUCAAGCAGGUCUGAAUAUCCUGUUUAUUCUGCAAGCUAAAUGCCCAUCUUUCUCAUGUUACUUUAUGAUUUUACUGACUCUUUGUGAGUAAUUACUUUUUGCAAGCAUAUUACAGCUUGAGGGUACAGCCUUGGUUCAACAGGCGGAAGAUGCUGCAAGUAACCAGGUUAAUUGCUGGAUGCAUUUAUUGAUUUCCUUCUGUACUAGAAGAUAAAUCAUGAAGAUUUUUUCUGGAUUGUAAUUGUGUGCUUGUGAGGGGAUGAAAUCCUUUUCUUUUAGACUAAUAAAAUGGGUACAAGAGUAGUAUUUAAACAUAUCAGUGUGGCAUGUUGAUUUUUAUCUUCAUUUGUUAUUGUGGUUGUGCAGUUCUUGUAACUGUUAAGUUUGAUUUGCCUUUGACAUGCCAAUAUUCCCAUUUUAUUUCUCUUUAGGAAAAAGAGAGUUAAUUCCAACUAAUACAGACUAAAAUUUUCCCACAAUUGAUGGAAAAAUAGAUGAUCAUAUUCAUUUUUGUUUUGAAUAAUCACCUGUCUGGUUCUAAGUGCUGAUAUUCACUCAUUUCCACAGGCCUCAAAUGCUCCUGGUGUGCAGGAACAGGUAAAUAUCCCAACUUUUACAGCUAUGGAUUCUUUUGAAAUCUGUAAAAAUGUUGAAAAUUGUUACUUCUGUCAUUGUUAGGACCUUAUCAGCAAAAUUAUCAAGCUGCACAAUAAGUACAUCGUGUAUGUGACUCGCUGCUUUCAAAACCAUACUCUGUUCACAAGGUUUGUGUUGGAACACCUAAAUUUGUAAUAUGGAUCUGGUUCAGUCGUGUUAUCUAAAAUUUGUAAUAAGAAUAAACAGAGACUUCCUAUUAAGACUGCUUUAUAAUUCCUAGAGCACUCUACUUAUAGCUGUUUGUUCUUUAUCUAGAAAGUGCCACAUGAGUUGUUGGUCAUGUACGCAAAUCGGCUACUUGAAAAGGAGCAUUCAGGAUGUAGGGCCUUGCUUAGAGAUGACAAGGUAUCAUCCAACCUUGUUUCUUUGCUAGCAAUGCUUACUCUUCUGGCUGUUUGCUUUGGAAAAUAUAUAAAUCAGAUAGUUAUUUGGCUUUGUUUACACUCUGUAGCUGGAGGAUCUCUCUAGUAAGUACUGGCUUUAUUGUAAAAUACCAUCAAGGCUUGGAUCCUGUUGCUAAUAUAUUCAAGCAGGUCUGAAUAUCCUGUUUAUUCUGCAAGCUAAAUGCCCAUCUUUCUCAUGUUACUUUAUGAUUUUACUGACUCUUUGUGAGUAAUUACUUUUUGGCAGCAUAUUACAGCUGAGGGUACAGCCUUGGUUAACAGGCGAAGAUGCUGCAAGUACCAGGUUAAUUGCUGGAUACAUUUAUUGAUUUCCUUCUGUACUAGAAGAUAAAUCAUAAAGAUUUUUUCUGGAUUGUAUUGUGUGCUUGUGAGGGGAUGAAUCCUUUUCCUUUUAGACUAAUAAAAUGGGUACAAGAGUAGUAUUUAAACAUAUCAGUGUGGCAUGUUGAUUUUUAUCUUCAUUUGUUAUUGUGGUUGUGCAGUUUUGUAACUGUUAAGUUUGAUUUGCCUUUGACAUGCAUUUAUUUCUCUUUAGGAAAAAGAGAGUUAAUUCCAACUACUACAGACUAAAAUUUUCCCACAAUUGAUGGAAAAAUAGAUGAUCAUAUUCAUUUUUGUUUUGAAUAAUCACCUGUCUGGUUCUAAGUGCUGAUAUUCACUCAUUUCCACAGGCCUCAAUGCUCUGGUGUGCAGGAACAGGUAAAUAUCCCACUUUUACAGCUAUGGAUGCUUUUGAAAUCUGUAAAAAUGUUGAAAAUUGUUACUUCUGUCAUUGUUAGGUCCUUAUCAGGAAAAUUAUCGAGCUGCAACGAUAAGUAAUGGAGUAUGUGACUCGCUGCUUUCAAAACCAUACUCUGUUCCACAAGGUUUGUGUUGGAACACCUAAAUUUGUAAUAUGGAUCUGGUUCAGUCAUGUUAUCUAAACAUGCUUCGUUGAAAUGUUCAAUGAGCCAUUGAAAGAGGCUUUGAGGUAUUUUGCAACAAAACUGUUUCUGGCAGCUCAAGUGCUGAGCUUUUGGCAACUUUCUGUGAUAAUAUCCUGAAGAAGGGUGGAAGUGAGAAAUUAAGUGAUGAAGCCAUUGAAGAAGCACUUGAGAGGUAGCUUUAUCCACCAUUUUUAUACUGAAUUUAUGGUGAUCUGAAAUUGAUUCUGAACUAUCUGUUUGGUUUCUGGCAGGUAGUUAAGCUGUUUGCCUAUAUUAGUGACAAAGACCUCUUUGCCGAAUUCUACAGGUGAGGUUUUUUUUUUUGUCAAUUAGUUUCACAUCUGCUUGUUUUUAAAAAAAAGAAAAAAAAAAAAAAAACCCUUUAAAGGCAUGAGUUUGCAUGGUACAUUUUGAUCCUAACUUUAUGGUGUGCAAUCAUUGACAGGAAGAAACUCGCUCGGCGACUGCUUUUUGACCGCAGUGCUAAUGAUGAUCAUGAAAGGAGUAUUCUGACUAAGCUAAAGGAGCAAUGCGGUGGACAGUUCACCUCGAAGAUGGAGGGCAUGGUGAGUUGGCCUGACUUUUGCUUAGUUUAUUUUUCUGCAUUAAUUACGGUUUAAAUUGUGAUGAAAACUUGUCUUCUACCUUCAUGACAGGUGACAGAUCUGACAUUGGCAAGGGAAAACCAGGCCAGCUUUGAGGACUAUCUUAGAAAUAACCCAGCUGCACAUCCUGGGAUCGAUUUAAACAGUUACUGUUCUUACCACAGGAUUCUGGCCAAGUUAUAAAUCAUUUGAUCUCAAUCUCCCUGCUGAGAUGGUAAUGACUUCUAACAUGUUAUUGUAUGAUGACAGAAUUAGAGCUCUUACUCCAGCAUGUCUUCAGAAAUUUUAUUUGUUUCAGGUCAAGUGUGUGGAAGUUUUCAAAGGAUUUUAUGAAACAGAAACAAAACAUAGAAAGCUUACAUGGAUAUACUCUCUGGGAACUUGCCACAUUAAUGGCAAGUUUGAGGAGAAAACUAUUGAGUUGAUUGUUUCAACUUAUCAGGUAAACCGACUCUGUAAACUGUGUGCGCUUCUUAAAUUGAAAAAUUGUGGUUUGGGUUGGAUUUAUGUCUUUGUCUUGCUGGGUUGCGGUGUUGAACUUUGAUUGUGGAAUCUAAUUUCCAGUUGCCUAUGUAAACAGGCUGCUGUCCUCCUUCUGUUUAAUGCUUCUGAUCGGCUGAGCUAUUCAGAGAUCAUGGCUCAGUUGAACUUGACCCAUGAUGACUUGGUCAGGUUACUACAUUCGCUGGCAUGUGCCAAGUAUAAGAUUCUAAGUAAAGAGCCAAACACAAAAACCAUCUCCCAGAGUGAUUACUUUGAGUUCAACUCUAAGUUUACUGACAAGUUGAGGAGGAUUAAGGUCUGGGAUAGUUUUGCAACUCUCUUUUAUGUUAUUAUUGCUUUUGGUAUUUAUUUGAAUGAGAGGUUCUACCUUUGGAAAUAACCUUGUAAACUAUCCUAUGUAGAUUCCUCUCCCUCCAGUGGAUGAAAGGAAGAAAGUUGUUGAAGAUGUUGAUAAAGAUCGGCGUUAUGCUAUUGACGCUGCAAUUGUGCGCAUAAUGAAGAGUAGGAAAGUUUUGGGCCACCAACAAUUAGUUUCAGAGUGUGUUGAGCAGUUGAGUCGCAUGUUCAAGGUAUUAAUAUACGCUAACCCUUUAUCUGACAGUUUGUGAGAGAAACAUUAGAUGUAUAGAUGGGGAUAUCAGGUUGCCUUAACUGACAGAAAACCACACACAGGGCACAUGCAAGCCAAACAUACACUGUAUGAAAAUAAUCUUUUAAAGAAUGAAAAGCUAGAGGACAAAAAGAUCUAUGAGAUUUGGGUAGAAAGGUGGAAAAACGAAUGGUUCUCUUAUCCAAAGGAAGUUUACUUUUGUGAAUGAUGCAUGUAAAUAAAAGAUGAGAGGUGAUAGAUUUUAUUUUAAAUGAAAAGUGAUGAAAUGGAAGGAGUGGGGUUAUCAAAUUGGAUAAAACAUCGACUUUUUUAUAGGUGAUUAACGUGUUGUGUUUCUGUGAUCAAACACAUGCACGGAAACUGGAAAGUAAGUAAUAGGUGAUAGGUUGUUUAAUUACAUAACUUCUUAGUAGUUGGUACUAAUUACGUAGGAUGUGGUUGGGAUUUGCAGCCUGAUAUUAAAGCCAUCAAGAAGCGGAUGGAGGAUCUCAUCACACGAGACUAUCUGGAGAGAGACAAAGAUAAUCCAAACUUGUUUAGGUACUUGGCCUAAGUAGGUCCUUCCCAAUGGAACGUGGGAAGUGGUACAGUCAGAUGGAUUUGCAAUGCUCCCCACUGAAAUCCGCAUAUUUUUUCUGGGUACCUUGUGUAAAGUUCAACGAAGUUUUAAUUGUCUAUUGAAAUUUAAUUAGUGUUUCACUUUAAAUUUCAUCAGUAUGAAUAUUACAUGAGUAGUUAACUUUUUAAAUUACGUUUAUUUAGUGUCUCACAUCUAUACAUAUUUUGAAAAAAAUUCUCAAUGAAAUUAUCAAAUUAUUGUCUUAUUAUUUGAUAAAAAAUUGACACAUGAUCAAUUAUUAUUAUGUUUUUAUAUCAUAAUUAUGAAAAUAUUUUUAUGUUAUAAUUAUUUUCUAUAAUAUCCUUAUUUCAUAUUUACGGAAAUAUUUGAUUUUUUAAAUUAAUUGUUAUAGUUUUAUAUCAUAAUUAUAAAAAUACUCAUAGGCAAUAGUUAUUUAUUAUAAUAUCUUCAUUUUAUAAUUACAGAAAUAUUUCUUUUCUUAUUAUUGAAUUGUAAAAAUAAUUUUCUAUUAUUGAUAAAAAUUAUUAUAAUAUUUUUAUAUCAUAAUUAUAAAAAUAUUUUUUCUCAUAAUUGAUUAAAAUUAUUAUAAUAAUGUUUUUAUCAUAAUUUUGAAAAUAUUUUUAUGAAUAUUUAAUAAGAAUUAGACAUGUGAUAUUUAUUGUAACAUAAAUUAAAAUAAUUCUUUUGAUAAUCAUAUAUAUAUAUAUAUAUAUUACAAUAUACAUAAUUUUAGAUAAAAUUUAUUGACAUGGAUAUUUGUAUGAUUUUUUUUUUUUGACGCGUAAAAAAGUUUCUUAAAUUUCUUUCUUUAAGUAUACAUAAGAUAUUUAUUAAUUUUAAAUUAUUAAUUAAAAAUAUAUUUUAAAAAAUUAUUAAAUUAUCUAAAAAUUUUAAAUUUUAAAUAAAAAUCAGUUUAAAUUCAAAUAAAUUUUCUUAUCUCAUGUAUUAUCUCAUCUCCGUAACAUUCAACAAAUCAAUCAGAUGAACCUUUCAUUUAAAAAUAAGUUUUUUCAUUUUAAAUGGUCUUCCACUUUCUAUCAUGCUCCUGAGUAAUUUUAAAAUGUUUUCAAUUUCUCAAGCUAAAUUAUCUUGUUUUUAAUUUGUCUCUCACAACUGCUUACUUCUCUCACGCUCCUUAGAUGCACCUAAAAGACACUACCAUCUACUUUCUUUUUUAGUCUUGGAAGUGACAUUCUGAGGUUUGUUUGCAGGGAAGAAAAAAUGACUGAGACAAAAAGUUUAGCAGUGGUGCGCAGUAGGCAAAUGGGUUCUGGCAUAGCUCAGCUUGGUGCCAUGCAUGGUCUCCAUGUUUGGCUCCUUGAUACUGACCCUGUUGCACUUUCUAGAGCCUCCAAAGCUAUAUAUUUUUCCCUUCAACGUUUUGUUUCAAAGGUCAUCUGCCCCAAGUAAAAUUGGUUUUUUUUUUUUUCAUCUAAUUUGUUGAUUGUUUUAAGUUUGGUUUUGAUGUGAUUUGAAGUCUUGAACCAGGAGAUUUUUUUCAGUUUAACACUCGAUCUUCUGACAGUUUGCAGUUAUACCAUAUUUGUACAUAUUGAUGAAUUGAAUAAAUAGUUUUGGUAAAGGGAUUCUUUUUGAUGAAAAGAUGUUUUUUUUUAUAUAAUCAGCCACUCCACAUGAUGCGUUAAUUAGAUAUUAUCAUAUUUACACCAAGCUGUUGUCAAAUAGUUAGUAAAUUUUUUUUAAUUCAUUCAAGUAAUAGCAAAUGAAAAAUUAAUUAAAUAAUGCUUAAUUCAAUAUUUUAUAUAAUUAUUUUUAAAAAAUAAUAUUUAGUAGAUUUGUUAUUCAAAUUCUAAUAUUUGUAAUUUUUUUUCUAUUAUCAGAUGAUAGCUCUUAUUAUAAAAUAAAUAAAAAAUUAAUUUAAAUUCGGUUCAUUGUAUCUUAUCUUGAGAUAUUAUAUGCCCAAUUAAGAAAAUAUUUUAGUGACUAAUUAUAUUCUUUAAUUCUAUCUUUCUAUACACGUUGAAUAAGGAAGUUCUUCCAAUGACCUUUAUCUAAGAAUAGCAGGCCAAUCUGUGCUUCCAAUAUCAUUGUAGCUUUAUUAUUUUUAUAGGGUUAAUGUUACAAAUAAUUUUUGAACUAUAAUAAAACAUUUAAUGCAAUGUUUAAAUUUUAAAAUUUUAUAAUAUAAUACCUUAAUUAUAAUAUACUAAUUAAUAUAAUAUUUAAAAAGUUAUUUGUCUAUUAUGUGUCAUCAUUUAAAAUUAGUUACAUUAAAGAUAAAUAUUAUAUUAGUUACAGAAUCACAAUUCAAGUAUCGCAUUAAAAAUUUUUAAAAUUUAAGUAUUAUAUUAAAUAUUUCAUUAUAAUUUAUUAGCUAUACAUGGUAUUAACCUUUUUUUAUUACUAUUGUUACGGCAUUUUAUGGUAAAAAUGAUAUAAUGGUCUUUUAUCAAAAAAGAAUGACUCACCAACAACUUAGGAUUAUUUUUAUCAUUUGAUCUGAGUUGAUAUGGCAAGUUGACCUUAUUCUUUAGAGUUCAUAUCAACUCGAUCAAUAUCAUUCUACUUGACAACGUGUGAAUAUGAUGAUUUGUUACUUUUUUGUUGGGUUUUUUUUUGCCAUGUCAAGUUGAGUUGACCUCAUCAGCACUAAAUUCAAUUCCAAAAGCUUGGAUCGCUAUGAUUUGAAUACCUUUUCUCUCGAGUAUAAUACUUUUUCUCCUCCUAAGUAUGGAUAAUCACUUAUCCAUUCUCUUUAUAGGUUCCACUAUUUAUCUAUUCUGAACACUGAGUUUAGUGUUGAAAUACAAAUAUCAGAUAUAACUCUGAUCUUUAUUUUUUAUGGAUCUCCAUUCUCAUUUGAUUUUCAAAUCUUUAACCUUUCAAGUUGAGCUCAACACCAAGAACUAUAAAAUAAAAUAAUAUCAAUAAGUGUUAAAUAAAAAAAUAGCCCUUAUGCAAUACACUUUCUAUCAAUUUAGUAUUUAGAGAAACAAAAUUCACAAUUAUGUAGUAAAACUUUUGUUUCGUCGUACACUUUGAUACUUUAGACUAACGUUGUUAGUCAAAUUACUAACAUAGUAUAAAUACUCAAUAAAAUCAUAACACUUGUAAAAAAUGUACAAUUAUCAUUAGAGGUAUAUUAAGUUGAGUUCAAUUGAUAUAAUAAGAAAUUUGAGCUCAUAUUCGAUUCGAAAUUCACUAUUUAAAACUCAACUCGAACUUGCUUGAAUUUUAAUUUUUAAAUUUAAAUUCAACUUGAGAUAAAAAUUGAACUACUUGAACUUGUUUGAUUAAGCUCGUUUAUCAUAUAAAAAAAAAUAAUUCCUAUGCUCAACAUCAAGCUCUAGCUCAAAUUAAUUUACAUAAAGGUAAAAUAGUAGUUUUCAAUUAAAAUAAUUAAAAUAUAUUAAACUAUAAAAACUUGAUUAGGCCCAAACUACUUGAAUCAAGUAUUAGGAUGCUUGUACUCGGCUCACCCAAUAAGUCGAACUACUCAAGCUCGGUUAGACAAUGAUCAAACUGAAUUUAAAUUUUAUUUGAGUCAAGUCUAAGUAGUUUGUAAAUUAAUGUAUUAUUUAUACCCUUAAUUAUCACGGCGUUAUAUUAGAAGAAAUCUACAAAAAAUAAAAAAAAUAAAUUUUUAAAAUUUUUAAAAAAAUUUAUUUUUUGAAAAUUUAAAAUAAUUAAAAAAACUGAAAAUUAAAAAAUCUUAAAAUUUUCAAAAAAAAAUCCUAAAAAAUUAAACAAAUCCAAAUUUUUUCAAAAAAGAUUCAAAAACAUUUAAAUAAAAAAAAUCAAAAACAAAUUUGAAAAACUAAAAGUAAUUAAAAAAUUUUAAAAUAGUUAAAACUUAAAAAAAAUUCCAAAAUUUUAAAAAAUAUAAAAAAUUUUAAAAAGUAAAUAAAAUGGAAAAAUACUUUAAAAAUUCCAAAAAAUAAAAAGUUUUUUGUAAAAUUUUAAAAAAUCCAAAAAUUUUUAAAAAAGUGAGAAAUUUUAGAAAAAAUUGUAAAAAAUGAAAAAAAAAUCUGAAAUAUUAAAAAUUUUGAAAAAAAAUAAAAAAUGUAUUUUAAAAAAUCUACUAAAAAUCUGAAAAAAUGAAAAAAAAAUCCAAAGAAUUUAAAAAAUAUGAAAAACUUUAUAAGAAAUAGAAUUUAAAAAAAAAUCAACAAAAUUGAAAAAAUUAAAAUGUCAAAACUUAAAAAGUAAAAAUUAAAAAAAAUCUAAAAAACAAAAAAAAUCGUUGGGCUAUAUUUCUUAUUUUUAUAUGGUAAUAUUUUUUGAAGUUUUUCAAUUUUGAAUUUUUUAAAAAUAUUCAACUUUUUAAAAUUUUUCUUUUUUUUUUUAUAGAAUUUUUAUAAAACAUUUUCAGUUUUUUUUUUAAUUUAUUUUGGAUUUUUUAACGUUAUAGAUUUUUUUUAUUUUUUUGGAUUUUAAAAUAAAAUUUUUUAUUUUUUAUUUUUUAAAGUUUCCAAUAUUCGAUUUUUCAUUUUUUUUGGAAUUUUUCAAAAAAUUUUCAUUUAUUUUGAAUUUUUUGGAUUUAAAAUAUUUUUUUCUAUUUUGGAUUUUCAAUUUAUCGAUUUUUUGAUUUGUUAGUUUAGGAAUUUAUUUUUAAUUUUUUAAUUUUUCAUAUUUUCCCUUUUUUAAACUUCAUUGGAAUUUUUUUAUAAAAAUUUAUUUUUUUGAAAAUUUUAGGAAAUUUUUUAAUUUCUCUAAUUUUUGUAUAUUUUUAGGAUGUUUUUAAAAAUUUUCACAUUUUUUGAAUUUUUUAAUUUUUCAUAAAAUUGUUUUGAUUUUUUUUAAUUGUUCAAUUUUUUCUUGAAUUUUUAAUUUUUUUAUAUUUUUUAAAAUUUUUUACUAAUACUGAUAAUGUAAUGAUAAUAUAACGAUAAUUAAACGUUUUUUAUAUGUGUUAUGAUUUUAUCAAGUAUUGAUGUCGUGUCAGUAAUUUAAUUAACGAUGUUAAGUAAAACAUCAAGGUGCAUAAUAAAAUAAAAGUUCAAAUUCUUAAUUAUGAAUUUUAGUUCAUUAGAUAUAAAUUUAUUAAAAAUAUAUAAUACAUAAGUAUUUUUUUAUAUUUAACCCUAUCAAUAAAUAAAUAUUUUAGCGUGCCAAAAAAAAACCUUAUUAAGAAAUAAAAUAAAAAAAAGACAAUAGUAACUUGAGUAAAAGGACUUUUCAACUUUUUAACUAAAAAUUAGGGUUAAUAACAUUUAUAAUAUUAAAUUUUAACUUAAAUUUUAUUUUAUUUUAAAAAAAUUUUAAUCGGAUUCUCAAUUGGUUAAAGUUGUCUUAUUUUGAUCUUUUCGUCUAUGAAAUCAUUUAAAUUGAUAUUAAAUGUUAGAUGGUGCCAUGUGAUGAUGUUAAUUUGCAUUUUACUUGACAAAAAAAGAACCUAAAUAGAAUUCUUUCAAAAUUUAAAAAUUAAAGAUGAAAUUAUUUUAAAAUUUUAUAUAUUUUAUAUAUUUUUAUAAAAUAUUAAAUUUAAAAUUAUAAUUUAAUAUUUUAGAAAAAAAGUUUUUUUAGAUAAAAAAAUAUUUUUAUUAUGAUUUAUGAAUAAAAUAAUAUUUUUAAUAAAAUAUAAUUUUUUGUUUUUAAAAUGUAUUGAAUUUUAAAAAAGAAUCUAAAUUUUUGAAUUAAAUUUUAAGUUUUGAAUAUCUAUUUUCAAUUUAAAACUAAAAUUUACCUAAUAAAUUAUAUUAGAACAAAAAUAUGAAAAUAGAAUUUUAAAUUUAAUAUUUUUGUAAAAUAUGAAUAAAAAAUAUAUAAAAUAUAUAAAAUUUUAAAAUAAUUUUAUCAUUGGUGCUUAAAGUUUAAAAAAAUAUAUAUUUUGAUCAUUUUUUGUUGCAUGAUGUCAACUGAUGUUAUUUUGUAUUAUCAGUUGAAAUUUAUUAUCAAUUAAAUAGUUUUAUUUAUGAAAAAAUCAAAAUAAGAUAAUUUUAAUAAAUUAAAAUUUUAAUUAAAUAUUUAAAAUAUGAGGAAUCAAAAUAAAAUUUGAAUCGGAAUUUAAUAUCUGUUAUUAACCUUAAUAAUAAGACAGAUUUAAAACGACAUAAAUUCAGAGUUCGAAACGCAAUUGGCCAAAACAAAAAGAAAAGAAAAGAAAAAAAACACCAAAUCCUAAUAUCCCAAAAUUUAUUUCCCUCUUUUUUAAAGGCACUGCACAUCUGGCAAACCAAAAAUCCUUUCUUUUUCGCGUAUUUCGCCGCCUUUCCACCAUUCGGUCUCGUAUAUAAUUACUUCCCCAUUCCCUUCUCCGAUUAUACUUUCUUUAGCGCUAGGCUUACGGGUUUAAUUUUCACGAAGUGCUCUCAAUUUCGAAUCGUAAUUUCUGGUACGAUACUUUCCUAUUUUUGAGCUAGGGUUUUGCUUCUCUAAUCUUUGUCUUUCUGUUUUUUAAAAAGAUUAUCUUGAUUCUUAGUAUAUUUUCAACAACUCCCAUUGAUCUUUGCGUGUUUAUUUGUAAUCUGUAAUCUCAGUUUCGCGGUUCUUCUUUCUUUUGAAUCGUAAUCAACUAUAGGUUUUUCCUUUUUCAUUUAACCUUGUGAGCCACGGCGUCUGAUGUGACAUUGUUUAGAAAUUUUGCUUUUCGCAUUUUUUUUUUGCUCCCUCUGAUUUUGUUGUUACGUUUUCGUCAAUGUUUGGAUGUUCAUGUUAUAUUAUUUUUAAUUUAUCCAUAUAGAUUUUAUUUGUGUCUGAAUUUUGUUUGCCCAUUUCAAUGCUAAGGUUUUGUUAAUCUUUGUGGUUUGAUUGUUUGGUAUUUCGACGUUAUGAAUAUUUUUGUUAUAUGCUUUUGCAGAUUUUAAUUUUAAGAACCAGUAGCUCGCUAUUUACACAAUGGAGCGCAAGACUGAUGAAUUGGAUCAGGCGGAUGGGAUUAUAUUUGGAGGGGAUCACAAAACUGAAGAGGGAUUUUGGAAGGAUUGCCAGAGCACUCCCAUUUAGCCUCAGAAGAAUAUUAUGAUGCCUUUACACGUAUCACUAAUUACUUGUUUUCAGUUUGUUGAUUCUUUUCGAGCCACAGACUUAUUAUUUAUAAUCAUCUGGUUAUUUUUUAUCCUCAUCAUCUUUCCUUAAUUGAUACCACUACCAGGACUAUCUACAACAUGUGUACUCAAAAGCCACCUCAUGAUUAUUCUCAGCAGCUUUAUGACAAGUACCGAGAGGCAUUUGAGGAAUAUAUUACAUCGAUGGUAAGGAAUUUAGAGUCUUGUCUGCCAUCACUAGGUUGCUGAGUACUGACUAGUCUGUGUAGAUAGAUAGUGAUUUAUAUAAAACUCAGUUUAUUAUGGAGGCAUUGUUUUACUGCUAUGAUUUCAAGGAUGUUAAUGUAAUUAGUCCUCUCUUGGGGAAUUAUUGCUGAAAUCCUCCCUUUUUUUUUCCUUCUUUGCAUGACAAAGGGAUUUGACCAACAUCUUUUAGAAUGCAUAUUCCAUGGAGUGAAAGCAAUGCUAUAUUUCAUUUACUUUGUUUUAGGUUCUAUAUUCCAAGAGCUUUGGUUGCAUUUGUUUGAUGUUUUCUAUAUUAUAUUGUUUUUUAAAGAUUGUAAUAACUCAUUUGCUUUGUUGAUUUUUUAAGCUCCAUGGUUUUAUUGUUUGAUACUUUUGCAAAUUCUUCUUUUACUAGCUUUCUUCUCAGUAGGAACCCUUGAAAGUUUUUUAUCCAUCCAUCUACUUUGUGUGGUAAAUAUGCUUUUUGCUCAUAUUUCCUCCUUUUUAAAAUAGGUAUUACCAUCUUUAAGAGAGAAGCAUGAUGAGUUCAUGCUGAGGGAGCUUGUUAAAAGAUGGACAAACCAUAAAGUGAUGGUCAGGUGGUUAUCACGCUUCUUCAAUUACCUAGGUCGCUAUUUCAUUGCCCGCAGAUCACUUCCUGCACUUAAUGAAGUUGGCCUGACCUGCUUCCGUGAUCUGGUUUGUUAUUAGUUCUUCUAAUGACACAUUUAUCCAAUACUAAUUAUGGUGUAAUGAGUUGGAUUUUGAGAAUUGUGCUGCCCAUUAUUUCAAAUAUGCUCUUAACUAAUUGUAUACUACCUAUUUUACUAAUCUCAGGUGUAUCAAGAAGUGCAUGACAAAGUCAGAGAUGCUGUAAUUGUCCUUGUAAGUUUCCAUCAUUAUGUCAUGGUUAAUUGUAUUUUUAGGUUGCAUUUUGAAUAAAAACUAAAGAGUAACAGUUACUUCAUAUCAGAUUGAUAAAGAACGUGAGGGAGAGCAGAUAGACCGAGCAUUAUUGAAGAAUGUGUUAGAUAUUUUUGUUGAGAUUGGCAUGGGCCAAAUGGUUCGUUAUGAAGAUGAUUUUGAAGCAGAUAUGCUUGAGGAUACUGGUGCCUACUACUCACGGAAGGCAUCAAGCUGGAUUGAGGAUGAUUCGUGUCCAGAUUACAUGUUGAAGGCAAGUACUUUGCUGUUCCUGCAUUUAUAUUUUUAUAGGUUAUAAGUUUUUCACCUUGAUUAACCCGGAUGGUUCUAAUUGUUUUUAUUUUAAUGAUAAUUGCAGUCUGAAGAAUGCUUGAAGAAGGAAAGGGACAGAGUGUCUCAUUACCUGCAUUCAAGCAGUGAGACAAAAUUGUCAGAGGUCAGUUGAAUGGUUGGAAAGUUAUAGUUUAAUGAAGAGCUUUUUCUGUGAGCUUUAGCUUGGCUUGAGGGUGCACUUUUUUUUCUUCGGAGAGAAAAUCUGUUUAAUUUUCUUCUAUAAGAGGUGACUUAAAUGAAUAGUGUUUGAUGUGUGAAACGUUGUCACUAAGAUAUUACAAUAGAAGUUGUGUGAAUUAUUUUCAAGUGGAAAGAUCUGGUUGCUUUUAUCUAUUUUCUUCUAGCUACCUAGAAAUGGAGAUUGCAUGUUUUUGACUUAUCCAAUGACAUGGAAUAAUAUAGGCAUGUGAUAAGAAUAAACAGAGACUUCCUAUUAAGACAGCUUUAUAAUUCCUAGAGCACUCUACUUAUAGCUGUUUGUUCUUUAUCUAGAAAGUGCAACAUGAGUUGUUGGUCAUGUACGCAAAUCGGCUACUUGAAAAGGAGCAUUCAGGAUGUAGGGCCUUGCUUAGAGAUGACAAGGUAUCAUCCAACCUUGUUUCUUUGCUAGCAAUGCUUACUCUUCUGGCUGUUUGCUUUGGAAAAUAUAUAAAUCAGAUAGUUAUUUGGCUUUGUUUACACUCUGUAGCGGGAGGAUCUCUCUAGGAUGUACAGGCUUUAUUGUAAAAUACCUCGAGGCUUGGAUCCUGUUGCUAAUAUAUUCAAGCAGGUCUGAAUAUCCUGUUUAUUCUGCAAGCUAAAUGCCCAUCUUUCUCAUGUUACUUUAUGAUUUUACUGACUCUUUGUGAGUAAUUACUUUUUGCAGCAUAUUACAGCUGAGGGUACAGCCUUGGUUCAACAGGCGGAAGAUGCUGCAAGUAACCAGGUUAAUUGCUGGAUACAUUUAUUGAUUUCCUUCUGUACUAGAAGAUAAAUCAUGAAGAUUUUUUCUGGAUUGUAAUUGUGUGCUUGUGAGGGGAUGAAAUCCUUUUCUUUUAGACUAAUAAAAUGGGUACAAGAGUAGUAUUUAAACAUAUCAGUGUGGCAUGUUGAUUUUUAUGUUCAUUUGUUAUUGUGGUUGUGCAGUUCUUGUAACUGUUAAGUUUGAUUUGCCUUUGACAUGCCAAUAUUCCCAUUUUAUUUCUCUUUAGGAAAAAGAGAGUUAAUUCCAACUACUACAGACUAAAAUUUUCCCACAAUUGAUGGAAAAAUAGAUGAUCAUAUUCAUUUUGGUUUUGAAUAAUCACCUGUCUGGUUGUAAGAGCUGAUAUUCACUCAUUUCCACAGGCCUCAAAUGCUCCCGGUGUGCAGGAACAGGUAAAUAUCCCAACUUUUACAGCUAUGGAUGCUUUUGAAAUCUGUAAAAAUGUUGAAAAUUGUUACUUCUGUCAUUGUUAGGUCCUUAUCAGGAAAAUUAUCGAGCUGCACGAUAAGUACAUGGUGUAUGUGACUGAGUGCUUUCAAAACCAUACUCUGUUCCACAAGGUUUGUGUUGGAACACCUAAAUUUGUAAUAUGGAUCUGGUUCAGUCAUGUUAUCUAAAAUAUGCUUCGUUGAAAUGUUCAAUAGGCAUUGAAAGAGGCUUUUGAGGUAUUUUGCAACAAAACUGUUUCUGGCAGCUCAAGUGCUGAGCUUUUGGCAACUUUCUGUGAUAAUAUCCUGAAGAAGGGUGGAAGUGAGAAAUUAAGUGAUGAAGCCAUUGAAGAAACACUUGAGAAGGUAGCUUUAUCCCCCAUUUUUAUACUGAUUUUAUGGUGAUCUGAAAUUGAUUCUGAACUAUCUGUUUGGUUUCUGCAGGUAGUUAAGCUGCUUGCCUAUAUUAGUGAUAAAGACCUCUUCGCUGAAUUCUACAGGUGAGGUUUUUUUUUGUCAAUUAGUUUCAUAUCUGCUUUUUUUAAAAAAAGAAAAAAAAAAAACCCUUUAAAGGCAUGAGUUUGCAUGGUACAUUUUGAUCCUAACUUUAUGGUGUGCAAUCAUUGACAGGAAGAAACUUGCUCGGCGACUGCUUUUUGACCGCAGUGCUAAUGAUGAUCAUGAAAGGAGUAUUCUGACUAAGCUAAAGCAGCAAUGCGGUGGACAGUUCACCUCGAAGAUGGAGGGCAUGGUGAGUUGGCCUGAGUUUUGCUUAGUUUAUUUUUCUGCAUUAAUUAGGGUUUAAAUUGUGAUGAAACUUGUCUUCUACCUUCAUGACAGGUGACAGAUCUGACAUUGGCAAGGGAAAACCAGGCCAGCUUUGAGGACUAUCUUAGAAAUAACCCAGCUGCACAUCCUGGGAUCGAUUUAACAGUUACUGUUCUUACCACAGGAUUCUGGCCGAGUUAUAAAUCAUUUGAUCUCAAUCUCCCUGCUGAGAUGGUAAUGACUUCUAACAUGUUAUUGUAUGAUGACAGAAUUAGAGCUCUUACUCCAGCAUGUCUUCAGAAAUUUUAUUUGUUUCAGGUCAAGUGUGUGGAAGUUUUCAAAGGAUUUUAUGAAACAAAAACAAAACAUAGAAAGCUUACAUGGAUAUACUCUCUGGGAACUUGCCACAUUAAUGGCAAGUUUGAGCAGAAAACUAUUGAGUUGAUUGUUUCAACUUAUCAGGUAAACGACUCUGUAAACUGUGUGCGCUUUUUAAAUUAAAAAAUUGUGAUUUGGGUUGGAUUUAUGUCUUUGUCUUGCUGGGUUGCGGUGUUGAACUUUGAUUGUGGAAUCUAAUUUCCAGUUGCGUUUGUAAACAGGCUGCUGUCCUCCUUCUGUUUAAUGCUUCUGAUCGGCUGAGCUAUUCAGAGAUCAUGGCUCAGUUGAACUUGACCCAUGAUGACUUGGUCAGGUUACUACAUUCGCUGGCAUGUGCCAAGUAUAAGAUUCUAAGUAAAGAGCCAAACACAAAAACCAUCUCCCAGAGUGAUUACUUUGAGUUCAACUCUAAGUUUACUGACAAGUUGAGGAGGAUUAAGGUCUGGGAUAGUUUUGCAACUCUCUUUUAUGUUAUUAUUGCUUUUGGUAUUUAUUUGAAUGAGAAGUUCUACCUUUGGAAAUAACCUUGUAAACUAUCCUAUGUAGAUUCCUCUCCCUCCUGUGGAUGAAAGGAAGAAAGUUGUUGAAGAUGUUGAUAAAGAUCGGCGUUAUGCUAUUGACGCUGCAAUUGUGCGCAUAAUGAAGAGUAGGAAAGUUUUGGGCCACCAACAAUUAGUUUCAGAGUGUGUUGAGCAGUUGAGUCGCAUGUUCAAGGUAUUAAUAUACGCUAACCCUUUAUCUGACAGUUUGUGAGAGAAACAUUAGAUGUAUAGAUGGGGAUAUCAGGUUGCCUUAACUGACAGAAAACCACACACAGGCACAUGCAAGCCAAACAUACACUGUAUGAAAAUAAUCUUUUAAAGAAUGAAAAGCUAGAGGACAAAAAGAUCUAUGAGAUUUGGGUAGAAAGGUGGAAAAACGAAUGGUUCUCUUAUCCAAAGGAAGUUUACUUUUGUGAAUGAUGCAUGUAAAUAAAAGAUGAGAGGUGAUAGAUUUUUAUUUUAAAUGAAAAGUGAUGAAAUGGAAGGAGUGGGGUUAUCAAAUUGGAUAAAAACAUCGACUUUUUUAUAGGUGAUUAACCUGUUGUGUUUCUGUGAUCAAACACAUGCACGGAAACUGGAAAGUAAGUAAUAGGUGAUAGGUUGUUUAAUUGCAUAACUUCUUAGUAGUUGGUACUAAUUACGUAGGAUGUGGUUGGGAUUUGCAGCCUGAUAUUAAAGCCAUCAAGAAGCGGAUGGAGGAUCUCAUCACACGAGACUAUCUGGAGAGAGACAAGGAUAAUCCAAACUUGUUUAGGUACUUGGCCUAAAUAGGUCCUUCCCAAUGGAACGUGGGAAGUGGUAGUCAGAUGGAUUUACAAUGCUCCCUCACUGAAAUCCACAUUUUUUUUUCUGGGUACCUUGUGUAAAGUUCAACAAAGUUUUAAUUGUCUAUUGAAAUUUAAAUAGUGUUUCACUUUAAAUUUUAUCAGUAUGAAUAUUACAUGAGUAGUUAACUUUUUAAAUUACGUUUAUUCAGUGUCUCACAUCUAUACAUAUUUUGAAAAAAAUUCUCAAUGAAAUUAUCAAAUUAUUGUCUUAUUAUUUGAUAAAAAAUUGACACAUGAUCAAUUAUUAUUAUGUUUUUAUAUCAUAAUUAUGAAAAUAUUUUUAUGUUAUAAUUAUUUUUUAUAAUAUCCUCAUUUCAUAUUUACGGAAAUAUUUGAUUUUUAAAUUAAUUGUUAUACUUUUAUAUCAUAAUUACAAAAAUACUCAUAUAUAAUAGUUAUUUAUUAUAAUAUCUUCAUUUUAUAAUUACAGAAAUAUUUCUUUUCUUAUUAUUGAAUUAUAAAAAUAUUUUUUUAUUAUUGAUAAAAUAAUUAUAAUAUUUUUAUAUCGUAAUUAUAAAAAUAUUUUUUUCUCAUAAUUGAUUAAAAUUAUUAUAAUAAUAUUUUUAUCAUAAUUAUGAAAAUAUUUUUAUGAAUAUUUAAUAAGAAGUGUAUAGGAGAUAUUUUAUUGUAACAUAUAUUAAAAUAAUUCUUUUGAUAAUCAUAUAUAUAUUAUAUUAUAAUAUACGUAGGUUUUAGAUACAAUUUAUUGACGUGGAUGUUUGUAUGAACUUUUUUUUUUUUUAUCGAAACGUAAAAUAAUUUCUUAAAUUUUUUUUUUAAAAAAUUUAAUCUGAUUCAUAUAUUUUCAAUGUCAUUUUAUCUUAAUUCCUAUAAAAAAAAAGCCAAAUAUAAAGGUAUAAUCAUCAUAUUUAGUUAAUAUGACAUGGUAUUUUCACAUGAUUGUUCAAUUAAUCAUAUCGUCAUUUAUAAAAUAUAAAAAAUCAGAUCAAACAUAUAUCAUAUUUUUUACUUUACGCCUUCUCUGCUCUCUUCCUCUGCCCAUUAGAUUAAGUAUAAAUCUUAUUCAAGAAGUCAUUCAACACGUGUUACGUUUAUCAGGUAGGAUUUCUCUUGCCCAUGCUUAUUUCAUAUAUUGAUAGGUCAUGCCAUUAAAUCUCAUGGGUUGAUGACACUUAAAUGGACAUAUUGUUAUUGAUGAUUUGAAUGUUGAUUGAAAUUUUUUUUUAAAAAAAAUGUGAAUGGUAAAUAUAAAAUUUUAAGGUCACGGAUGAAAAUUAUUAAUAAUAUAAAAUUCAAUGCUAGUAUGGCAGGAGACCUCUAUGAUUAAUUUUUAUCCAUAUGGCUGAUUUAGGUAUGGAUAAUUAAGACUGCAAAAGCAUGGCAAUAAAACAUACAGAAAUGCAAUAAUGGUAAGACUUUCGACGUCAAUUCAAGGAAAAAAAAAAAAAGCGAAGCAUAAGCUUUCAGGUGAUCUUUCUGUUUUUUUACCCCUCUUUUUAUUGUCUUAUUAUUAUAUUUUUUUGUGCAAUUUGAGUAGGAUUUGUUUUUAUACUUGUGUUUUGAAUUAUAGGCUUCUUUCAUCCUAUAGAGCAAAUGGGGCAAAUUGCCCUUAUGUUCUGUUCUAUGCAUUUUGAACUUCAUUUGCGUCUUCCUUUGAAUUAUUAUAUUCAUCUUAUACUAUCUUUGAGUUUUCUUGCUAAUGGAUGGAUAUUCUUGGAGUUUUUUUUUUUUUUUUUGUUAACUUCUAUGGAACUAAUUUUGAACUCUGAUUAUUUAGGUGGGAAAUUUUGUCUACUUCAUUGGAGCGGGCUAAAUAAUAACUUCAGUUUCACAAUUCAACUUUGACGUGAAGUAUCUCUGUGAGUUGAUGAAACCAUGGCUGAUGAAGAAUGUCAAGACAAGUUACUUCUAUAUGUUCCAUCUUAAUGCUUAUGUCAGCAACAUUUUAGAUGUUAUGUCAUCUUAGUUUACAUAUAAUUGUUUAAUUAUUCACAUCAUCAUAACAUAUAUAUAUAUAUAUAUAGCAUAUUUAUUUGGUAUUUUAUCUAUUCUCUUCUCUCUUUUCAUAACAUAUAUAUAUAUAUAUAUAUAUAUAGCAUAUUAAGAAAUUUGAAGUGUCUUAAAGUAAUUAAUUAUAUGAUUUGCCUUAUUCAUGUGACCAUAGUUUCAUUGCUUUACCUUAUCUUAGUAAUGGUCUAAUGCCUCUAAUUAUGGUUGCGUGUGUCAAUCUUUCGACAUCUAUGGCAGCUCUUUGACAAUGAGUUCAUACUACACAAAAUAGCUGAACAUAACUCAAAACUUAACACUAAAAACUUAUGCCAACCUACUUUGCAAAUGUGUUAAGGCUAUAAAUAAACAAUAGCCAUUCUCUUCUAUUUCUUUUUCAACGUAUUUUCUCUUCAUUUUCUUUGAUUUCUGAUUGUUAGUUUAGAAACGAUGAGUUGAAUACUAUAACUUCCUUUUUCCUAAAUAUGACUUCAAAAUGAUGAAGGUUCUAUUAUAGGUUGCUAAUAAAAGAAAGGAACACAGUUCAGUAAGGAGUUGCACAACAACAAUCGACCAAAUGUGGAAGGGCAAAGUUACCGAGAUACAUACCAAAAGUGGCUCCAAUUUUAUUGAAGAUUUAACUAAAAUGUCAUUGCUAUGCCUAUGUACAUACAGAGAAGAAGAGCAAGAGUUAGUGUAGAAAUCCCAUUUUAUCUAGGAUCAUCUGAAAUAAUUUCAAAUUUGGAUACUUAGUUUCGGAUUUUUAUUCUCUAAUUAAAGUGAUCUUAAUUUGACCCAUUUAAGUUUUUGAAUUUACCGUUUGGGUGUUCGGUUAAUCCAUUCACUUUCGAAAUUUUAAAGUUUUAGGCUUGAUUUGGAUUUAAAACCCGAACCAAGUGUUUGGCCUGCUUUUUCUUUCACAAUUUAUAGUUUUCGUUAUUUGUAGUUGUUUAUUUUAUUUCAUUAAUUUUUUAAAUAAAUCGGGUAAAUGAACAUGAUAAGUAAUCUGAUUUUUAAAAAUUUUGGAUUUGAUUAGACUUGUGUUGAAGAUGAAAUUUCAAUGAUAAAGAUUAAAAAAGAUGAUGGAAGCAAAUCCUUUUUAACUGGGAAGUUGUUAUGAUUUUAAACCCUAUAACAAUCGAAACAAAUCUCUGUAUAAACUGAGCCAACCAGCAAAGAAAAAGGGACAAUUCAUGACGAGAAAACCCAUCAUCCCAGUUCUCAAUCCUAGAAAACCAACUUCCAGAAAAGAAAACUCCAAUCAUCAACACAUAACAAAAUUACCAUAGCCCGAAGCUCACCAAAGUUGCCCCUAGCCAUUAACAACUACAAUUCCACAACUGCCAUCCACCAAUUAUUGUAGCCUAUAACGAAGAACUUCCGAGAGUUCAUUCUCCACCAUCAGGAAAAGCCACUAUUUGUCAGCCCAAUACAUAAUUACUAGCAAAACUACACACUAUAGGAAUCCAGAAUUGUAAGAUCCACACCCACCAACCCAGCAAUUUCAUCAACACAGGCAUCCAAAAUCAGACAACAAUCCAAAAAACAGGGACAAGCACAAUAAGAGAUCCAGCCUCUAUCACAAACCACAAUUAGACCUCAAAACAAAGAAAAUUCAGGAAACCAUUCCCCACCACAACAACCAUCCAUUGCCGAGACCAGGUCCUACCACCACUUUCGAUUUCUCGUUGAACAAUCGCCCAUUCUCAGUUAAGCACACCAACGUUAGUCCAAGGAAAAAAUCAUAAUUAGAGACAAAAAAAUCAGAAACAUAAAACAAAAAGGAGACAAAAGAUAUAGAUGGGACCUUCUCUCUCUUCGAUUUUUGGUCCAAAACGUUUCAAAGAGAUUUGUGUCUCCAAGUUCAGUGAGGAGAAAGAUCCGAAGAAGAGAAAAAGCAUACCUUAAGCUGGCUACCAUCAGAACAACGAUGAAGGGUGGAGUCAUAAAAUAAACUUUCAGAUCUGUGGCAUUUGAGGAGCAUUUUCAAAAAAUCUAAGCUCAUUUUCGAGACGAGGAGGCCGAGAGGAAACGUUGGGAAAGUUUUGGGCUCAAAUUGACUCCGACCGUGGCGAUGUGCAGCGACCAAUGUCGGCAUAAAGACUAGAGCGGUGGCCGGGAAUCGUGUGGAUGGAGAGAAGCAGAGAAGCAUAGAAAUUGAAUUCCAAUAGAGAGAAAAACGAAAGAAGGCUGAAGGAAGAAAAAAAAAACUUGACGUUUAUAGUUUUAAUAAAACAACGACGUUUUGGGGUUUAAUGAACCUGAUCCUCCUAGACUUGCCAAGUGACUUGCGCUUCAACCCAUAAUCAACUCGAACUGUUUGUAAGUAUACUGGUAUUCACUUAGGAUUCAUUUGAAUAAAUCUUGUGCGACGAGAUUAAAAAUAUUAAUAAAAAUUAUUAUAAUUAUGAUUAUAAAAAAUUAUUAUAAUUUAAAAAAUUUUAUAAAAAAAUUUAUAUUAAAUAAAUUUUAUUAAAGUUGACAUUUAGAUUCGACUAGUGAGUUGAUGUCUAUGUUGCUUUAUUAUUAUUUUGUUAUCCUUUUAAAUUUCUUCAUUACAACAUGUUUUAAUUAUUUAUAAUUUAUAAUAUAAGACUAAUAAUUGGUUGACACAGUAAAAAAUAAUAUUUAAAAUUUUGAAUAUAGAUAAAAAUUAUCUAACGAAAUUAAAAAAAUCAAGAAUGAUUGAUGUUUUUUAGAAAUUUCUAAGCAAGAAGUUUUUCCUUAAAAUUUCUGAAAUGGUAGAAAUUUUAAGUAAAAAUUUUGAUAACAAGAAUAAUAAAAAUAAAAUAUCAUAUUGAGAAAUUUUUUUCAAAUGAUAGAAUAAAGUUUGGAAUUAAAAUCUUCCAUAAAUCCAAUGAUAAAAUUUUAAAAAAUCACAAUUGAAUAAUUUUUUUUAAUUUUUAAUUGAGAAGUUUUAUCAUAAAUAUUUUUUAAAAAGUAAAAAAUUUAGAUAAAAAUUUGAAAUAUAAAAAUAAUAUAUAAAAUCAAGAACAAAAAUAACAAGAAUGUAAUUCUUAAAAAUAAAUAAAAACUAGCCAAAUGAUGAAAUUUUAAAAAUUAAGAAUGAUUGAUUUUUUAAAAAUUUCCAAAUGAGAACUUUUAUUUUGCCAAAAUAGUGACAAGGUGAAAUAAAUUUUAAUAACAAUAAUUAACAGUUAUUUUCAAGCAUAAUUAAAUUGGAAUAAUAAGUUUUUGAUAAAAUAAAGUGAACCCAAUGAAACUCUAAAAGAUUAAAAAUGAUUGAUUUUUUAAAAAAUUUUAAAUGAGAAAUUUAUUUUCAAUUUUUGUCUGAAUGAUGGUAAAAUUAGAUAAAAUUUUAAUAAUAAUAUUUUUUUAAGCAUAGUAAAUAAUAGGGAUAGAAAUGUUAAAUUUUAGAAAUAAUAAAAAUAAAAUUUUGAAAUAAAAAAUAAAGUAAAUCCAAUGAUAAUUUAGAAAAAUCAAGAAUGAUUUAUUUUCUUAUAAAUUUCUAAGUGAAAAAAUAUUUUUAAAUAUUUUUAUAAUGGUGGAAAUUUUAAAUAAUUUUAAUAAAAUAAAUAAAAGAUGAUUAAUAAUAAAUUAAAAAAUAAAAUCCAUCAAUAAAAUCUCUUCAAAAGAACAAACAGACUUUUUGUACACUCUUAAGAUGAAAUUUUUUUUAAAAGUUCUACAAAAUGGUGAGGAAAACUUAAAAUUCUUUUUAUUAUGUAAAUGUUUAAAUAAAAAGAUCAAUUAAUCAAGAUUUUAAGAUAAUUUAAAAUUAAUUAAUACUAACUUAAAUAGAUUUUAUAAAAAUGUUGUAAUAUUUUUCACAUGAAAUAUAAUUUUUGCACUUAAUUUUAAAACGUAAACCAAAAACCUAUUUUUUGAAAGUCUUAAUCACGUUUAAAAUAAUCUUAAAAUGAUAAAUUCAUCAAAUAAUCAAUCAUAGAUAAAAAAUUUAAUGACUAUUCUUAAAAUUGUAUCUAUUGAUUAAAUUUUCAGAUUAAUACGUUAUUGACUAUUACAUAAAAAAAGGGUCAGUCAAAAUUUUGUCAUACAAAUGUCACCUAGAGAUUAACAAUCGAGAUAUUUAGGGGUGACAUAGCAAGAGGACAAGGACCAAUUUCAUUAUCACAGUCAAUCCACAGCCAGCUUCGCUAUUCAUGCAACCGCCCAAAUUAUUCAGCCUGAAAUCAAAGGAUAUUGUGUAAUUAGACACAUAGAUCCAGAGCCGUAAAAUUACAAGCAUGAACUGCUAAAUUCAACAAACUGAUGCGUCAACCAUCAUUAAUGCCAAAGUUGAUUGUUCACAGGCAAAUCACAUAUUCAAUCAUUGAAAGAUGUCGUGUUUUCAAAAUUUACUUGAUAAGUACAAUCCCGUAAUGUAUAAAAUUGACUCAACCAUCAUACAGUGCCCCGUAGAAAAAGGCUCAGCUUCCCAGUAAUAUAUUGACAAGCCCAUUGGGACAUGACAUGCCUCUUAAAUUUGGAUUACUGGUUUGUCAUCCCUAUACUCAUGGUGCUUGUAGGUCAGCUACAGCUCAAACUCGAUUGAGGUAGCACCUUUAGCCAGUGUCAGGCCUCCUAAAAGAAAGGCCAAUUGUCUGCAUAUUUUAUAGACUCCAAUAGCAAUUACUUGCAAAGGCUUCUUAGUCCACUAAUGUGGAUUACUAAAACUAUUUGCCCUUCCUUCGUCCAACUACGUUUUUUCAUUGCAAGACAUAAAACAGAAUUGCCAUGCAAUAAAAGGAGAAUAAUGGUCACUGAAAGAGUUUUUACCUAUCAGCAUCAAGAUGGCCAACUUGAAGAUAAUAGAAUGAUCUCUCCCGUAAACAAAAGCACUUGCCACAUUCCAAAUUGGAACUAUACAAAGAUAAGUUUAUGGUACUUAAAUGUUUACUGCCACAAAAAUAACAAUGGUUAGAAGCAACAGUAUGCCAAAGCAGAAAAUGAAGCAAUCAAAUAAACAACAAAGAGGACACCAACCUUUAGAGGGUAAAAAGCAACCUUGUUUCGAUCUCUACCAUUGUAAUUUUGCACCAAAUAUUACUUUACUAUAUUCUUUUAGCUCAUCUUGAUUAAUCCUAAGUAUAUACAAUGACAGGUACUACAGCAGUUGACCUGCACCAAUAUAAAUAACAAAGGUGAAACUCAAGGAAUACAAAAAACAAGUGAAAACAGAGAUAAAAACAAUGUUCUCUGAAUAUUUUUUUAUUAAAAAAGAAUCUUUAAAAAUAUAGAGGAAUCGAUAUGUACAAAGAAACCCACAUAAUCAAGACAUAAUCAUCUAAACAUAGAAAAAAAUAAAAGACCAGAAAUAUAAAUCCAACAAAUUAGGAAAUUUAUCCUAAUUUGAUACAUAAUUUGUUAACACUCCCUCUCAAGCUGAGAAUACAUAUUUUUCAUUCUCAGCUUGUCAACAAGAGUCUCAAAGCUUGGUUUACGUAGUCUUUUUAUUAGGAUAUCUACUACUUGUUGCUUUGUAGGAACAUAGGUUAUACAGAUCACUCCCAUAUCAAUCUUGUCUUUGAUAAAAUGCCUAUCAUCUUCCACAUGCUUUGUUCGUUCAUGAUGCACUGGAUUAUGAGCAAAACUUAUAGCAACCUUGUUAUCACAAUAUAGUUUCAUAGGGUAUUCAGCUGUUAUUUUCAAUUCUCCCAAAAGUCUCUUCAACCAAAUAAGUUUGCAAGUUCCUUAUGCAAGAGCUCUAAAUUUUGCUUCUGCACUACUUUGAGCAACAACAGACUGUUUCUUGCUCCUCUAUGUGGCAAGAUUAACCCAAACCUUUGUAAAAUAACCAGAGGAGGAUUUUUGGUCUUCAAUUGAUCCUGCCCAAUUUGCAUCUGUAAAUGCUUUCGCAUUUCUUUGUUCAUGCCAGGUGUGGCCUUCAAAUACUUUAAGAUUUGAUAUACAGCUUCAAGAUGCUCCUCAAUUGGAGAGUGCAUGUAUUGACUUACUACACUAAUUGUGAAGGCAAUAUCAGAUCUUGUAUGAGACAAGUAGAUCAGCUUUCCAACUAGUCAUUUAUAUCUCCACUUAUCUAUGGGAAUUCUUCCUUUCUUUUCAAGUUUCACAUUAAGCUCUAUAGGUGUAUCAACUGGUUUACAGCCAAGCAGACCAGUUUCCUUCAAGAGAUCAACCGUAUAUUUUUUUAGGGAACAAUAAUGUCAUUCUUGCUCCUUGCAACUUCCAUCCUUAAAAGUAUUUUAGUUGUUCAAGAUACUUAAGUUCAAAUUCUUUUCCAAUAGUCUUUUUUAACCUUUCUAUUUCUUCGGUGUCAUCACCUGUCAAUAUAAUAUCAUCAACAUAAACGAUCAAAAUAGUCUUUUUUUCAUGUUGUGAGUGUUUGGAAAAAAGAGUAUGAUCAGUUUGUCCUUGGCUAAAUCCAUGUCUCCUUACUGACUUUGCAAAACGAUCAAACCACAAAGAAACUUUUUCAGUUUACAUACCUUCCUGUCAUUAUUUACCCUUUUAAAGCUAGGAGGCAAUUCCAUAUAAACUUCAUCCAACUCCCCAUUCAAAAAGGCAUUCUUGACAUCCAUUUGGUGUAAUGGCCCGUAAAGAUUAGCAACUAGUGAAAGCAAUACCCUCGUAGUAUUCAAUUUAGCAAUUGGAGCAACAGUGUAGUCCACACCAAAAGUUUGAGUAAAUCCCUUUGCAAUUAUGCGGGCCUUGUGUCUUUUUAUUCCUCCAUUUGAAUUAUACUUAAUAGUAAACAUGCACUUACAUCCAACUAGUGUUUUUCCUCUAGGUAACUCCACAACAUCCUUUUCAAGGCUCUCAUCUCUUUAAGUACAGUAGCUUUCCAUUUUGAGAUUUUUAAAGCUUCAUGAAUAUUUUGUGGGAUUUUAAUACCUCAAUCUUUUCUAUCAUGGCACAAAAUGCAGUAGACAAAUGGUUGUAAGAUAAUUGGACAAAGGGUGUUAAGUGCAUGAUGUUACACCUUUCUUGAGUGCUAUAGGCAUGCCUAGAUCAUUAGGUAGAGUAUUCACUGGUGAUGGUGCGGCAAGCACAACAUUUUUUUAUUCAAAAUUUACUUUCGGAUCAGUAUUCACUAGUGAUGGUGUUGUAGGCUUAGCAUUUUCUGAUUUAGAAUUUACUUAUGGAUCAAAUUCUUGACAAUGCGGUUGGGGCACAAAAGUUUGUACUUCUUAAGGCUGUGGUUUACAUCAUGAAUAAACACGGAGUUCUGUUUUUUGUUGAGGACUAAACAUAGAUGAAUCUGCCCUUGUUUCUACCUUAGCUUCUGUUGGUGACACAAUAGGAAUAGUAGAUGUUAUAGGAAGUGGAAUGGAAAAAUCCCAAAGCCUAUCUUCACCUGGUAUCUUCCCCUGAAGAAUUGGUUUUGGGUAAAAAAGUUGACUUUCAAAGAAUGUGACAUUUAAUGAGAUAAAUAUUUGUUUCGUGGAUGGAUUAUAACAUUUAUACCCUUUUUGAGUAAAAAGUACCCAGUAAAGAUACAUUUUACAGCUCUAGGUUCUAGUUUCCCACGAGAUAGACUUUUAUUGUGAACAAAAAAUGUGCAACCAAAGACUUUUGGGGUAAAAAACUAAACCUAGUUUGUGGAUGUGAUUUAAGUAACAUGUUUAAUGGUGUUUUGAAAUUGAGAACUCUACUAAAAAAUCUAUUGAUCAAGUAUGAGGUUGUUAAAAUAGCAUCUCCCAAAAAAACUUAGAGGCAUUAUUUGUAAACAUGAUAGCACGAGCAACUACUAAUGAAUGACAAAUUUUAUAUUCUGCAACCCCAUAUUGUUGGGAGGUGUUAACACAAGAAUUUUAGUGAAAAAUCCCAUUUUCUUUUAAAUGAUCACCAAGAAUUGAAGAAUUCCCUCCCAUUGUUUGUGUGAAAAAUUUGGAUUUGAGCUUGAAAUUGUGUUUGAAUCAUUUUGUGAAAUUGCUGAAAAAGUACCUUAGCAUUAGACUUAAGUUUUAAUAAGUAAACCCAACAAGCUCGUGUGUGAUCAUCUAUAAAAGUUAUGAACCACCUAGUUCCAGUUAUGUUAUUUUUCUAUGAAGGUUCCCAAAUAUCACUAUGAACUAAAGAAAAAGGUUUAGCAAAUCUAUAUGGAUAACUAAGGUAAGGAGCAUGAGUGUGCUUGACAAGUUGACAAGUUUCACAAUGAAAGGAAUGGACAUCUUUAUUCUUAAAAAGGGUAGGUAAAAGAGUUUUUAAAUAUGGAAAACUAGGAUGUUCUAAUCUAUUGUGUCAUAACAUAAUUUUACUGUAAACAGAAACAGAAACAAAUUGACCACUUAAAGCCAAAACUUGUUUAUUUACUUGUUGAGGAUCCUCAAGAUAGUACAAGCCUUUAUGCUCCUUAGCAUUACCAAUUAUCAUCCCUGAAAGUAAAUCCUGAAACUCACAAUAUGAAGGAUAGAGCUUAGACACACAAUUCAAAUCCUUUGUCAAUUUACUGAUAGACACUAAAUUACAUGCUAAAUUAAGAACAUGCAAGACUGAAAAUAGUGUCAUAUUAGAAACUUUAAUGCUUGUUUUUUUAGCAACAGAGGAUAGUGAUCCAUCAACAAUAUGAAUUUUAAGGUUUCCAGGACAUGGAUUAUAUGUUGAAAACAAUUAAUGGCAUCCAACUGCAGCUAUAUUUGUUCUAUAUUUUUAAGAGAAAAAUAUUUCGUGUUGAUGUUUUAUGAAUUCUGAUUGUUGCAGGUUUCUAAGACAUUUGGUGAGGGAAAAGUUUCCUUCGAGGAAUACGUUUUCACUAUAAAGAAUACAGUUGGAAUUGGUCUCCUCAUGGAAGCUAUAGGUAUUGGCAAAGGAAAGCAAGAUCACACUGGCAAUGCCAUGGAAGAUCCAGUUAAAAGUCAAUCACUGUGCUUCUUUUCGUCCUGAUAUCCAGUUUUGGCAAAAGCAUGUUCUGCUUUACAUCAGCAGAUUUAUCAAGUUUCUAACAGCGAGAUUUCAGGUUGAGCAAAGCUAGAUCCAGCGAUCUUUUUUGGGAAGCUGUUGGCCUCGCCUUUAUACAGAAGGUUGGCACUCUGAACAGCCAAAGAUCAGGUUCUUUCAGUUCAAAUAUUCUCUGGUGUUUCUUAAUCUGGUGUUUAAGAAGUUUUCAAAAAACUAGUGAAGGUACCACUAUUUUUGAUUCUGUUAGUGAUGUUCAUUAAUAAAGUUCAACAACCAUUAGAGCUUGAAAUUGAAUAAGGCAGUAAAAACAAGAUAUAAGUGGGACCAACAAUAAAUACAAGAAAUCCUGAUUUUUAUGUCAAGUAUAAACGUAUUGUUACCUCAAGCCAACGAAAUUCUGGUUGCAAUCGAGAAUCUAAUGAAGUUUAACAAUUGUAGACACUAGUUUGGCCAAGGGGCUGAAACGGUCCAAGGUUCCGAGAGCUGAGAAGCUUACCCUCUUGAAGCUACUAGCUUCUCACCCCCUCUAAGCAUUUCCAGUGAUUCUGAGGAGGAUACAUCUGAUGACUCAGAAGAUGAAGCUGGAAGAAAAUAGUGCGCUUCACAUGCUUGCAGAAGCCAUGGCUUGACGAGGGAGAAUGUGGUGGACUUAUCAGAAUUGUGUAACAGUACUUCAAAUACUGGUAAUUCCCACACCUCUGCAUACCAGCAUUAUAUCAAGUGGAAAAUCAUGAAAGCCACCACACAAGUCUGCUUGCAUUGAUGGGGGCAAAAGGGUUGGUGAAGUAUAAUUUCGUCCAAAAUGUUCACUCUAGUGACUCAAAAUAUUUGGCUCCUGUUAGUAAAGAGCAGGGUUUAACUGAUUGCACCAAUGGAGAAUCAAGUUUUAGUGUUGAAAACAUUUCUGCUGCCAGGAUGUUAAAUGAAGACACUUCGCACUGUAGGUCUAACUCAUCUGAUGCUUGUGAAGAUAUGGUUUUUCAAAUGGGAUCCCAAGACUUGUCUCCUGCCAGUUCUUUGUCUAAAGUCCAUCGUGAUGAGGGAAAGGAAGGCAAUGUCACUGCCUGCAUAGACAAGAAUCUCCGAAAAUGACUCGGUUGCAUACAUUGAUAGACUUGAAUGUUCCUCAAGUUUCAAUGGAUUUUGAAACCAAUGGACCCUUCGUCACAGAGACGGUGAAAAACAGUGAGAAUUCAAGUGCACAUAUAUCAUUCUUUCAGUCCGAAAUUCCGCUGCAGCCUGAGCCAUUGAAGCUUCCCAAUAGAGGUGCAGAGGUCAAUCAGCAUCCUAUAAUGCACAAUCGGAGGCAAAGUACUAGGAAUCGACCAUUAACCACAAAAGCAUUAGAAGCUCUUGAAUGUGGGUUCUUCAGUCCCAAGAGGAAGAGAAAGGCUGCAGAGGCUCUGCAGAAUAACUCACAGAGAGUUCGUGGGAGACCUGUUGUUAGUUCCAUUUUUAGAAAUGGUGCAAGUAACCCCAACAUGGAGGAGAAUUAGGAUGGUUUCUGCAGUGUGAAGAAAUAGCCAGUCCAGUCUCUAAUCUGAAUCUGAUACAUGGAGAAAUGAGCGAGCUAAUUUCUUAGCUAUUCCUGGAAAAACCAUGUAUCCCACCAUGUCCUCCAAAGCAUUGUAUUUUGGGUGCUUUUGAUUUUUCUAGUCAAUAAUUGGGAGACCUAAUGUCUCCUUAGUCAUUCUAGGAAAACACAACACCCAUUCACCCAACUAGCUGCAGUUUUUUGAUCAAUGUAAGGUGAAAAAUAUGUAUCACACAUGUUCAUCUUACAUAAGUCAGACAAAAUCGAUGGUGCAACAACUGGUUAUAAUUUCAGAAAGGCGAGGCGGGGAAACAAUUCCUUCAACUGGAUUAACCUUUUCCAGCGUAGGAACAAUUGACAGCAGGUGGUUCUUACUGUCUUUUUCUAGAUAAUUGACUUCCAAACGGUAUUCCUUAUAGGGUUUGACUGCUGAAUGUUGCUAAUGCCAACCUUUGAUCUUGAUGAAGAUGAUCUUUUUUUUCCAGUUAAUUUAUCUUUGUAUAAACGUGUUGUCCUCAAAAAAUGGAUAAAGCAAAAAAAUUUUUUAUACCUCCCUAAGAUUUUCAAUUUAACAAAGUUGUCCUAUUGCGACCUUUUUUUUGUUUUUGUCAAUUUAAAAGAGUAUGAGACUCAAGAUCAAUAGCACUUGAAGUAUGUAUUAUUAUGUGAAGUAAAUUUGAUAAUUUUAAAUACAAUACAAUUAUACGAUACAAAUAUAAAUAUGUAUGAAAAUAAUAUAGUUUAAAAUUUUAAUAAAAAUCGUUUAUAGGUUUAGAAAAAAUAUAAAAAAAAUGUUUCAUAUUUAAUAUAUUGAUGCAAAUUAUCAUAUAAUAAUUUUUAUAUUUUACGUAUAUUUGAUACGAAAUAAAUAUUACAUAAAUAUAUAAAUUAUCAAAUCUAUAUGAAAAUGAAAUCUUCAUUAAAGUGAAAUGAAGCUUAACAAUGUGCAAGUCAAAUUGCACGUAGUCUUUGAUUGAUGCUAUAUUCAUUAGGAAUAGGUUGGUCGCAUUGCUUGGUUUGUUAUUCCCCAUUUCUUUCUUUUAGUUGUCUUAUUCGGAACAAGAGGAUGGCAUUACCAUUGCAGGAUAUCAUCUAUGAGUUUUGCUCUGGAGGCAACUUAUUCACAGGCAAAAAAUAAGCACUUGAAGCCAGUAAAAACACAGGGAAAGCAAACGUUCAAUCAAUCAUACUCACAGUGCCAAAAUUUUCUUCACUUGCAUGUUACCCACCAAAGAAAAAGGGAACAAAAGGAAAAUAAAACCAUGUAAAAGCAAUCUUUCUUGGGAAAUUUCCUCCUAAAUCUAUUACAAAUUUUCCCCUGGGAAAAGCACGUGCAUUCUAUAGCUAGUUUGCAACAUGCAUGAUACCUAAAAAUUAUUGAAAUUAAUUUUGUUAAGUUUUAAAUAAGAAAGUGUGAAUUAAAGUGAGUAAUUAGAGAAAAUCCAAGAACACAAAAUUUACGUCUACCCAAUAUCGAGUUAUCAAAUGGUUGCAGAUCAUUGCUGCAUACACAUUAAUUCCAAACGGGUGAAAAGAAGCCAUGUUUUCCAGGAGGGAAACCACUACUUGAAUUAUACAACUGGUGAAAUUUCAUUUGUUGAAAUUUUUGUCAUAGAUGGACCAAGGGACCCACUUCAAUAAGCCCGGUGGUGAUGAUGAAUUUGGAUUCCAAAAGAUUUUCUUCCUCCUUCCAUUUAAUCUCCAUCAGUGCUACAGUGAUUGGCAGAGUUGAUCCUAUAAUUCAAGUUUUUUUAAAAAAUCCCCAAUGGGUAAGAAUUUGAAGCAAAAUACGUUUGGUAAUUAGCAUGAAGGAAAAAAGAAAAGUAAAGAAUUUAAAGCUUAAUCUAAUUAAUUUAUAUAAUAAUUUUUUUUCAAUCUCCAUACUGCUGUUUUCUUUAUAUAAAAAAAGUAAGCAAUUAAAUGUGAAGUAAUAUUUAUUUUAUAAACUUCAGCAUUUGCCUAAUUAAAAUUGUAUCUAAGUGAUUCCUUUAUGACUUCCAAAUUUUUUUCAAAGAAAUUAUGUGCUUAAGGAAAAAAAUUUGAGUAAAAAGUGACCAAUCUUUUUUUUAUUAUUAUUAUUUAUAAAUUUCAGUCUGGGACCAUUAUGAAAACUACGUUCUUACCCCUUUAACCACACAAAAUGAAACAAAUUCUUUCAAAUCCAUCCAAUUUGCAAUAGUAUUGAACAUUGACCAUUACCAGACAUAUAAUAGACAAGAUUCACACUUGAUGCACCACUAAAAUGUUUUUUUAAAAAAAAAAAAACACGUCCGUUUCAACAACCAAUAGAAAAUUCAUUAGUUUUUCCUUUUUUAGGUCGAUCAAACAUCAUUUUCAUGAGAGAAAAUACUUCAAAAGGAACACUCAGGGUAAAGAAUACCAGACCAUGGCAGUCUUUUCUGUUUCUUUUAUCCAUGGGGUUACUUAGCUUAUGUCAAUUACCAACCUCGUUCCUUCUAAAUUAUUCAGCAUUUCUGACAGUCCAUCAUCUGAAAGGUGCUUCGGGUCGUCUUUUAUAUUCGAUUUUGCCAUAAAAUAAUCAAGAAAUCAUGCCAGUGUUACAUUUCUGUCUUCACAUUGUUGUUUGAUGUUUGCUUCGUAAAUUAUAUCUAUCCGUCAUCGAUGAUAACUAAGCAAUUCUAUUUGUCUUGGUCUUGACUAGUAGUUUGUGAUAAGAGCAAAAAUGGCUGCCAAAUUGCCGGUUCACCGCAUAUGUCUGCAACAGCAUCGCUACAGAAAGCAUUCCAAAUAUGUGCAGCUGCAAGUAAUAGUAUAAAUUCUCCCAUGAUGCACAAAAGCUUUGCUGGUACCAUGGCAGGUCCUGAACAGUCCAUUAGACCACCAUCUUUUGGAGGAAUUCAGUAGCGGAACACAUCUUACGGUCAUGCUUUCCAUCACAUUAUGAUCAGUCAAGCAUGGUUGGGAUCAGCGGGGGAGGAUUCUCCAACCCGCUCAUGCCAAAAAGCCCCAAUGAAAUGGCCCGACUUUUUAGUUCUGCCACAGGAAGCUCAGCAAUGAAUGAUAUGGCAAUUUUCACUAACAUGUUGAUUAACGGAGCUGACCAAAACCACUGCUUAAUGAAAGCCAUGGAACAUGAAGGUAAUGGUAACUCUAAUUUGUUAAAGGGAAGAACUCAGGCGAUAGAAAGGAACCAUCAAUAUUUGGAUCAAGCAGUGGAGGAAGUAACAUGACGACCCUUGAUUUUAUGGGGAUUGGAGGAUCAAGGUCAGCCAAUUUGCGUGAACAGUAGCACCAGCGGCAAAGAUUGGAAAUGGAAGCAAUAAGCCAAAAAAGAUUGCCAAUGAUAAACCCUUUCCAGCAACAGCGCUCACAGGGGGAUUCAGCUCUUGGAAAGGCCAUCUGGGGAUGUCUGAGAGCAACAGGUUUUUUUGUUACUUUUUGCUGUCAGCUGUCCCUGGAAGAUUUUCUUGCUCUUGAAUGGUGACAAUACUGAGAUGGCCACUUCGGCAUUGGAUAGAAAAUGGGUUUCACAGGGUCCACACUUACAGACCCAUCUAUCUAUCAUGAAACAAUGGGCAUUGAAUUUUUAAAUUCAUAAAUGACACAGUGCCCAAUGGGAGAGCCGUGUGUGGUCACGAUUCACGAAAUAACGUGGUCUCCACUCCUUCAGGACGUUUUUCUUCGAAGUAUCAGACAAAUAUGAAACUCCUUUUGUUUUGUAACCAAGAAGCCACCGCCAAUUUGGAUUGAGAAAAAGAAAGGCUGAUAAAAACUCACUUGACUGACUUGAGUAAGUUAUGUAAUCCUAAAAUGCAGAAAUAUGUUUAGAAGGGAAAGUGUUUUCCAUAAUGCCCCAUCGUCCUUAGUUCUUAUUUUUAUCUUUGUCUAGUCAAAAGGAAUACGAAAUAUUUCAUCCUAUCUAAUUUCUGCUUUUACCCCCCAAAGUAAAGAUCAAUCAUUUCCUUACUUUUGUUCCACAGGCUGGGAUUAAUUGCUAUUUUUUUUCUUUUCCAUUUUUCAAGUCAAUUUUUUAUGAAAUUAAUUUCAUUCAAAAUAGGUUACAUCUAACUAGGAAUCUUACGAUAGCUCACUCCCAUACAGUCAAACAACUACCUUAUUGUCGUUGAACUAGAAUUCUUAACCUCUUUCUCUUCCCAGUAAAAUACUCAUUUUCUUUACUUAAGCUUCUACCAUAAAAUUAGAGUUAACAAUCUUGUAAAAAUAUUGAAUUUCAUAUUCUUAUGAAAAAAAUAAAUAUAAUUAAAUUUUAAAAAAUAAAUUUAUAUUUAAUAAUUCAAUUACACAACAUGGAUAAAAUGUACCAAAAGUACCCAAAAAAAAAAGAGUGAAUAAAACUAUCAAUGUAUGGUUUCUCGUCAAAAUGAAGUGAAGCCUGAGGCCGAGCCCAUAAUUUCAAAACGGAAUCCUUUAAAGCCCAAAUAAAGCAAUGGCGAAAAGCCCAAACCAGUUAGAUAUCAACCGAGUCUAGUAAACACGAGUAGACUCGUAAUAAGGUCGGGCGCGCCCCUUCUCUCCUCUCAAUAGCGGGUGAAAAAUCCUAACCCUAGCCCUACUUUAGAUUUUUCUGUUUAUACGCGACAGCGAAGGCCAACACCGCAGCUGAAGCCAAUGCUAUGAAUUCGCUUCUUUUUUGCUUUUUUGUAGAUCCUUUAAUGCAUCUCAAUCUCUCCUCUUCCUCUCAGAGGCAUACCAAUUUUGGCAUUGAUAAGUUUUUAAAGCUUUGAUUUUGGUUUUUUUUGUUUUUGAAUGAUAAACGAGUGAAGGCGGUGAUGUUGAAAACUACCUAUUUUACGAAGGGUUUUUACGGCUUUUGUGAUUAGAGAAUCAGCAAUGGAUACUUCUGAGCCUUCUUAUCUUAUUUUGUUCAGUCUUAAUUUUUUGAAAUUUUUUUUUAAAAUUAUUGAUAGGUUAAUUUCGUGAAGUCGGAUUCAGAGUGAUUGAAAUGAUGAUAUCUUAUUCUCUGAAAAAUAUAAUGUGGAUUAAAAAAAUCAUACUAAAAUUAUCUGAUCAUUUGGCUCUCUAUUCCUCGUGUCUCUUUAUUUGCCUGUCUAUUUGCUUUUCUCUUUUCUUUAACAUUUUAGUAAUUCUUCUUGGAUUUUUUUUUACUGAAUUUUCUCACAAUAUUUUGCUUUUAGAAGGCAAAGUUUUAUAAUUCAGACUUCAUAAACAAUCAAACACUGAGAAAUUUUCAUCUCAUUUGCAUAAAGUACAACAACCAACCAAACAAGAGAGAUUUUCGCAGAAAAAGGUUGUAAACGAUGUUAUGGAAAUUUCAGUAAUUUUGCUUUUACAGAUACAAUGGCAUAAUCAAGAAAUUAAAAUUUUUUUUACAUAACUAAAAAUUUUGGCAUAACGAAUAACUUUUAUAUAAUGAAAUAUUUAUCGACAUAUUUAAAUUUUAAAAUUUUUAUUUAAAUUAUAAAUUUAUUAAUUAAUAUGAUAUUUUAAUGAUUAUUUAUUUGUUAAGUGUCACUCUUUGAAGUUAAAUGGAUGAGUCAAAUUAUGAUAAUGGCUCAAGUAUUCUAACGAAAUCUGAAAAUUAAUCUCUUUAUUAUAAUUAAUAAAAAUAUAAGUUUUGUAUUAUUUUUAUUUAAUAAUUUUAGUCAAUCAUUAAUUUAAUCAAAAUUUUAUUUUAUCGAUGCAAUAAUAUAGAUAAAUGAAAUCAAUUGUUAAGUUGUUUAAAUAGUUUAUAUGUUCACACGAAAUUUAAAAUUUAAUUUUUUUCAUAUACUUCAUAAAAAUUCUAUCUUCAUACAAAUUAAAUUUGAUAAUAUCAAUUCAAUUAUUAAUAUGAUCAAAAUCUAAAUUUUGGUUCCUCUUUUUAAUUUUAUUGCCUAACAAUUUUUAUUUUAGAAAAAAUUUAAAUUAAAAAGUCUUUAAAAUUUUUUUAAAAAUUUAAAAAAUUAAAAAUGAUAAAAUAGUAAAAAAAUAUAAAAAUUUUAGGUCUUUUCAAAUUUUUUGAAAACAUUAAAUUAAAUAUUUUCUAAUUUUUUAUUUUUAAAAAUAAUAUUUCUUGAAUUUUUUUGAAAAAUAAGGUUUAAUUUUAAAAAAGUUCAAAUUUAUGGAUUAUUUAGAAUUUUUUUUCAUUUUUAAAAAUAUUAAAUUUAAAUAACAUUAAAUUCAAAUAAUAUUUCUUUUAUUUUUUUAAAUUUCAAAUUUCAAGUUUUAAAAAUAUUUUUAAUUUUUAGAACUUAUUAAUUUUUUUACAAUAUUAAAUUUAAUUUUUUCCAAUAUUUUAAUUUUCAAAUAUUAAAUUUAAUAUUUAAAAAAAUAUAAAUUUUCCUAAAAAUUACAAAAUUUUAAAUUUUUUUAAAAAAAUUCUAAUUUUAUUAAAGAAAUUCAAAAUUAUUAAUUUUUUAAAAAAUAAAUACUUAAAAAUAUUUAAAAUUUUCUAAAAAUUGAAAAUUAUUUUUUUAAAAUGAAAUAUGUUUUUCCAUAAAAAUUUAAGAAAUAUUAUUUUUAAAAAAAGUAAAAUAUUAAAAAAUAAAAUUAAUUUUUAAAAAAAUAUAUAAAUAAUUGAAAAUUAAUUAUUUUAAAUUUGAAAUUCGGUUGUCAAAAAUUUUCAGGAAAUAUAUUUUUUCAAAAAAUUUAAAUGUUUUUUUUAAAAAGCUUAAAAAUCAAUUUUCUUAAUUUUUAGAGUUUUUAAAAUUUUUUACAUUUUUUAAAAAAUUUUGAAGAUGUUUUUUAAUUUUAGAUUUUUUUUUAAAAAUAACGAUCACGUCAAUAAAAUUAAUGAAAAGUAAUAUAUUAGUAAUUAGAGUGAUAUUAUAAAAUUUAAUUUGUAUAAGAAUAAAAUUUUUAUGAAUUAUAUUAAAAUGAUUAAAUUUUAAAUUUAAUAUAAAUAUUAAAAUUAUUUACAUAAUUCAAUAAUUAAUUUUAUUAUGCCACGAAUUUGUUUUAAUAAUGAAAAAAAUUUGUUUGUCAUAAAAAAAAGUUAAAAAAAUAUAAUAAUUUAAAGUCAAAGUUUUAAAAUAAUUCUAAAAAAAAGAAUAAUAGAUAAUGUUUAAAACAAUUUCAAAAAAAUAAAGGAUAAUAGAUAAUGUCCGAGUUACAGCAUAACAACUGGUGUGGACCCCUGACAGUCUAAUGACAUAAUUGAGAUAAAAUUUAAGAGCCCUUUGACUUGUUCAAUAUUUGGUACACCAGAUUAGUUUGUUCACUGUAUAUAAAUGUAAGAGGGUCAGCUGACCGCAGACUACAGCUGAAAAAAGUUUAUUCAUUUCCAAACAAGGACAGUAGAUUGUCAAUACAACAAAUAAAAAGAAUUAUACUUUUGCUUCUUGGAGUGCAUAUGAUAAUAAUACCAAAUCAAAUGUUUUUGGUUUUGGGUUGAAUUUUUAUCAACUUUAAGUAGAAAAUACGAAAAGUUUUUUUUUUUUCAUGGGAUAUGAAACAUAUAAAUAUUUCUUUCAUUUUUUUUAAUUCAAGUUCACAAGUACAAUAUAUCUAUAUAUUGAUUGAAACUUGUAUCAUUAAAAGUAUAUUUAUAAAAAUGAAUAAUUAUUAAAUAAACAUAAAACAUUGAUAGAAACUGUUUUAAUGCAAUUCAAGUUACCUUUCUAACAAUUAUCAGCUUUGGAUUUAAUACUGUCAGACUGCCAGGUGGAAGUCUGGGAACACCGAUAACAAAUUGGCAAAAGGCUCGCUGCUACUCUGGUGUAAAUUCCCCCAUAAUUUCAAGUAACUAUAAAAUCAUAAAACCAACAUAAUUAUGGAUCAAAUAUAGAUUUUAAAAUACCCAAAUGAGAGUCUUAUGAAAGAAACAUACAUUUAAGAUUUCAGAGGUCUUUGCAGUAUAUCCAUGAUCUAACUUUAUAUGAUCGGAUAGUGUCUCAGCUUGCAUUAUUAGAAGUUAUAUUGUUAAAAUCAAAGUGGAUAACCAGUUCUAAUCAAAGAAGUUAGCAAUAUUAUCACACAAUCCACCUCCCACAACUAUUUGCAACCACACAUCAAAUAGUCCAACUCUCGGGGGGUAAAUAUUUGUAAUGAUGCGAUAUCAAAAACCUACUUGCCAUAUAACAAAUUUAUUAACAUUGCAAUGAAUCCUAAAAUAGCUCCUUAAUUCAAGUAAGUAAAAAGAAAUCAACGAUGAACAUCAAACUUGUGAUCAGUCAAAGAAAAAUCAUAAUAAAGAAAAGCAACUUGGCCUGAUUGAAUCCAGCCUAAAUGCCUCUUAUUUUGCAACAUAAUUCCAGCCUCGACAGUUACAUCAACCACAAGGAUAUUAUUCUUCUAAGUUAUUGAUAUCAACCUGAUGUAGUUUGAACAAAAUGUUAGAAUAAUCUAUUGACAAAAAAAGAGGUGAGGAAAAAAUGAGAAGUUGAAAGUAAAAUUUCAUCCCCCAGCUUCAAUAUGUAGGUAGGAUUAACUGAGUGUAAAAAUAAAAUAGAAUUAUAUGAUCCCAUUGAAGCAUUAAGCUAUCCGCAAUCUAUAUUUGUACCACUCCAUUGUUCUCUCAACUCAAUGCAAAAUAUUUGGAAAAUAAAAACCAAAAAAAUCAGUUAACAAAAUUGAAUAUUAAAAAGAAAACAUAUAUUUUUAAUUACCAUCCUAUAAGAAGAUUGAGAUAACUCAGAAAUAACUCAUACAUCUACAACAUGCAAGAAACUUAAUUGCCUUAAUCAGAUUAUAAAAUUUAGUACUGACCACUUGAAAUUCAUAAACUUCUUUAGCUCUACUCUUCUCCAUCCCUAGCAUCUCUUUCUUCAGCAAAAACUGCCAUUAAUUCAUCAAAAUUUUUUGUCUUCUCCAAUAAUAUCUCGAUAUGAGAAAAUAAUAUAAAAACAUAUCUAUCAAUACCCAAGCUAAGAGGAAAGAUAAAACUUAGUAUUACAAUGACUAUAAUAUUUUGGUUAAAUCAGCACUAAUAACAGGUUGUGUUAAAUAAAUAAAAAUUUAAUAUUGAAUUCUCCUAUAUCACUUUUAAACUUUAACUUUAUCUAUAAAGAAUUAAUAUAUCUCAGCUUGCAAAUAAACCAUGGAACAUUCAAAAGGAAGCAUGAUGAGCUAUUAAGCCGAUUUACUUUUGCUUUUUGGACAGGCCACCCUCUAGAGUCCUCUUUCAUAUCAACCGUUAAGAUUGUAAUCUUUACAAAGCUACAGCUUGAUUGCAAUAAUUAUCAAAACUCAAUGGCUAUAUAAACACAUUUUUUAAAUAAAUUAAAAAAUAAAAAAAGUGAAAAACAUCUUACUCUACUCAACAACCAAACCAUUGUUUUUCAUAAUUUCUCCAAUUAUGAUGACUGUUGCAAUAACUGCAUAUAUGACAUGAUAAAUAAAAAGAAUAAUUAACAGUAUUUCUCAAAAAGUAGCAUACAUAAUUGAUUUAGGUUUCAUCUAUGAAUAAUUAAGUCCAAAAAUAAAUUCUAAGCAGCACCACCAGAAAAAUUAAGUCACAAACACUUUAUACUUGAGAAAAACAAAGUUGAGAAAAGCUUUAAAGCAAAGAUAUUUUGGAUAAAAACUGGAGGCAACUGGAAACCAAGCAAUUGUAAAAACUUCUGUGCAUUUAACUGAAAAUCAAGAUCAAUGGCAACAAUGAAAGUUUAUGAUAAUGAUACCAACCUUCAUUACUUAAACAUAAAGAAUUUCUAACAUGUAACAAAUUAGGAGCUUGUAUAACAAUAAAGUAAAAAUAUAUGAUUAGAACAACAAAAAACAUUUCAUGUUAGUACUCUUAUAAUUCGAUGAUGCUAAUGAAAAAAAAAAGAUACAUUAACAGCAAUGAUCAUUUGGAUUGAAAUAAAAUAUUAAACAAACUAAAUUGUUCAAUUUAAGGAAAAAAAAAAAAGAAAACCAAAGAGCCAGAAAAGGUUUUUAAAAAGACACUAAUUUAAGGCAAUAUGAAAAUUAAGAGAAAAAAAUGGAAAAUUUCCCUUAAUAUCCUAACAUUCCCCAAUAAACAAUAUAUAUAAAAACCAUUUUGAAUCCCAAAAAUAAAGUCCUAUACAAAUCCAAUAUCAAUCACGUAUUCAUGUCUUUACAAUAAAUUCAUCCCAAAGAAUAUAAUCCAAGGUACUAUCAAAUGUCAAGAACAAACCCAAAUUAAAGGCACUAAAUAAUAUCUUCUUGAUUGAACAACUCAUUGAAGCAUUAAAUCUUGUAAUCAAUAUAAUAUAGGAUGAUAUAUGCAAGGAUGAGUUAUGAGGUGCUGAGAGAUUUCCUGUUUGUUUAAUGGUACAAUGAACUUCAUUUUCUAUUUUAUUCUAGCACAGUGUAGAGGAAAUUACGUGAGAUAUAGGUAGGCAGAAAGUACAGACUGCUUGAUUGAAAUAUAAAGCCUUUAGUCUAUGAGAAAUUACAGAUUCAGUAGAAUCAUGUUCUUUGAAGUUUGAACAAAGGGUUUGCCAAACAUGUCUCAUAUCAACAACCCUCAUUCAUCUAAAAUCAGUAAUAUAUGCUUCAAAUUUCACUUUUCCAAUCUCCAACCAGUAAUUGCAAAUAUGAAUAAUCAUCAUGAAAAUGGUGAGUAAGUAACCGCAGGUAGAAAAUUAACGCAUGAAAGAAGCAAAGCAUAAACAAAAUUAGAUGAAUAAUCUCAAGGAAGCAUAAAUUUAACAUAAAUUUCAAUUUAAAUAGAAAAUUUCAAUUUGUAUUACUUACUCAUCAAAGCAUUUGAAAUCCUCAUCCUUGAAGGGAACUAUUCUAGCCAUUUCACAUUCUGAUACCUGUGAAGUAAAGUGAAGGGAUUUGGCAUCUUAAUCAGAAAGAAUAACAAUUUCCAUUUGAAUUUUAGUGAUGAAAUAUAGUAUUAGAACUAUGGUGGACUCACGAGUUCAUUAAUGUUUCAAAUUUCAACUCCUCCAUAACCCACCAACAUAAUUCAAAAUGCAUGAAAAAGAAACCCAUAAAACAAAUCAUCAAAAGAAUUAGUCAACAUUAUUAAAUGAACAUAAAACAUUGAUAGAAACUGUUUCAAUGCAAUUCAAGUUACCUUUCUAACAAUUAUCAGCUUUGGAUUUAAUACUGUCAGACUGCCAGGUGGAAGUCUGGGAACACCAAUAACAAAUUGGCAGAAGGCUCGCUGCUACUCUGGUGUAAAUUCCCCCAAUAAUUUCAAGUAACUAUAAAAUCAUAAAACCAACUUAAUUAUGGAUCAAAUAUAGAUUUCAAAAUACCCAAAUGAGAGUCUUAUGAAAGAAACAUACAUUUAAGAUUUCAGAGGUCUUUGCAGUAUAUCCAUUAUCAAACUUUAUGUGAUCAGCUAGUGUCUCAGCUUGCAUUAUUAGAAGUUAUAUUGUUAAAAUCGAAGUGGAUAACCGGUUCUAAUCAAAGAAGUUAGCAAUAUUAUCACACAAUCCAAGUGUCAAAUUACCUCCCACAACUAUUUGCAACCACACAUCAAGUAGUCCAACUCUUGGGGAGUAAAUAUUUGUAAUGAUGCGAUAUCAAAAACCUACUUGCCAUAUAACAAAUAUAUUAACAUUGCAAUGAAUCCUAAAAAUAGCUCCUUAAUUCAAGUAAGUAAAAAGAAAUCCACGAUGAACAUCAACUUGUGAUUAGUCAAGAAAAAUCAUAAUAAAGAAAGCAACUUGGCCUGAUUGAAUCCAGCCUUAAAUGCCCCUAUUUGCAACAUAAUUCCAGCCUCGACAGUUACUCGUAUAUAAUUACUUCCCCCAUUCCUUCUCCGAUUAUACUUUCUUUAGCGCUAGGCUUAGGGUUUAUUUUUCAGAAGUGCUCUCAAUUUCGAUCGUAUUUCUGGUACGUACUUUCCUAUUUUUUGAGCUAGGGUUUUGCUUCUCUAUCUUUUGUCCUUUUCUUUUUUAAAAAGAUUAUCUUGAUUCUUAGUUAUAUUUCACAACUCCCAUUGAUCUUUGCGUGUUUAUUUGUAAUCUGUAAUCUCAGUUUCGCGGUUCUUCUUUCUUUUGAAAUCGUAAUCAACUAUAGGUUUUUCCUUUUUCAUUUAACCUUGUGAGCCACGGCGUUUAAUGUGACAUUGUUUAGAAAUUUUGCUUUUCGCAAUUUUUUUUUGCUCCCUCUGAUUUUGUUGUUAGCGUUUUCGUCAAUGUUUGGAUGUUCAUGUUAUAUUAUUUUUUAAUUUAUCCAUAUAGAUUUUAUUUGUGUCUGAAUUUUUGUUUGCCCAUUUCAUGCUAAGGUUUUGUUAAUUUUUGUGGUUUGAUUGUUUGGUAUUCGACGUUAUGAAUUUUUUUGUUAUAUGCUUUUACAGAUUUUAAUUUUAAGAAACCUUAGCUCCUAUUUACACAAUGGAGCGCACGACUAUUGAAUUGGAUCAGGGAUGGGAUUAUAUGCAGAAGGGGAUCACAAAGCUGAAGAGGAUUUUGGAAGGAUUGCCAGAACCUCCAUUUAGCUCAGAAGAAUAUAUGAUGCUUUACACGUAUCACUAAUUACUUAUUUUCAGUUUUGUUGAUUCUUUUUGAGCCACGGACUUAUUAUUUAUAAUCAUCUGGUAUAUUUUAUCCUCAUCAUCUUUCCUUAAUUGGAACCACUACAGGACUAUCUUCAACAUGUGUACUCAAAAGCCACCUCAUGAUUAUUCUCAGCAGCUUUAUGAGAAGUGCCGAGAGGCAUUUGAUGAAUAUAUUACAUCGAUGGUAAGGAAUUUAGAGUCUUGUCUGCCUUCACUUGGUUGCUGAGUACUGACUAGUCUGUGUAGAUAGAUAGUGAUUUAUAUAAAACUCAGUUUAUUAUGGAGGCAUUGUUUUACUGCUAUGAUUUCAAGGAUGUUAAUGUAAUUAGUCCUCUCUUGGGGAAUUAUUGCUGAAAUCCUCCCUUUUUUUUUUUUUUUCCUUCUUUGCAUGACAAAGGGAUUUGACCAACAUCUUUUAGAAUGCAUAUUCCAUGGAGUGAAAGCAAUGCUAUAUUUCAUUUACUUUGUUUUAGCUUCUAUAUUCCAAGAGCUUUGGUUGCAUUUGUUUGAUGUUUUCUAUAUUAUAUUGUUUUUUAAAGAUUGUAAUAACUCAUUUGCUUUGUUGAUUUUUUAAGCUCCAUGGUUUUAUUGUUUGAUACUUUUGCAAAUUCUUCUUUUACUAGCUUUCUUCUCAGUAGGAACCCUUGAAAGUUUUUUAUCCAUCCAUCUACUUUGUGUGGUAAAUAUGCUUUUUGCUCAUAUUUCCUCCUUUUUAAAAUAGGUAUUACCAUCUUUAAAAGAGAAGCAUGAACUGAGGGAGCUUGUUGAAAGAUGGGCAAACCAUAAAGUGAUGGUCAGGUGGCUAUCACGCUUCUUCCAUUACCUAGAUCGCUAUUUCAUUGCCCGCAGAUCACUUCCUGCACUUAAUGAAGUUGG